AUUUCAUUAUGAUAGCAAACCCCAUAUCAGUUAUACAAUGAAGUUCUCAACUUUUACUCAAAGUAUCAAAUCUUUUGCAUCACAUAAACUUACCAUUUCACAAAUUACAUGCAACAGAGUCUUAAAUUAUAACCAACACACACAUUUAUUCUAAAGCUUAACCGGAUAUUGAACCGAUUUUUUCACAUAGUUGGGUAAGAAGCAUUCAUGGCAAGACCACAUUGUCCGUGUUUAGGCUUGAUAUCUUUUUUGAUCCUCAUGUAUCCACGUUCUCCCCAUUUUGGUCCCCAUGAAUUCUUGAGGAUCCAGUACUUUAAUCCGUUUUUAGAUCGGCCGUAUCCAACCGCAGUUACCCCGUGAUCAAGAUGAGUUGUGCAUUCUCCGCUGAACACACCGGACGAAUAGAAUUGGAAACCAAUAUCUCCUCCCGCUAUUCCAAUGCUAACCGGGUGGUGUGCCACUGCCUUCAUUAGGGCUUUCUCAUCGUUAGCCGGGACAUCCUCAAAACCUAUGAUAUGUGUAGAAGAGAUAUAAUUUCAAAGCAUGAGAACUAGUAUCUUCUCAUUUCAAAAACCAAACCAUGAGCACUAGUAUUUAGACAUUUGCGUAUUUCGAUUGGUUUGUUUAGUUAUGUUUCGUCAAUUUUAUUAUUUUAUUAUUUUGAUUUUUGUAAUUAGUUUUUUGUUUAUUCGGUUAACUUUUCGGAUUAUUAUAUGAAUCUUUUUCUACGACUUUUAUGAGGGAAUUAUUAAAGGGAAACCUUUGAUAGAAGUUUCUAUCUGUUUAGUUUUAUUGAAGUUGCAAGUGCCGUUUGUGCUUUUAUAAGGAUAAUUUGAUUCAGAGGUUAAGCCGCCAAUAGUUAUUGUGUAGUUAAACGCUGUAUCCAUCAAACCGCCCAUGCAGCCACCAUCGUUUGUGUCGCAGUCGACAAGCUCUUGUUCAGACAAAGAAAUGAGUUUCCCUUUCUUUAUCUGUGCUACUCCUUCUAUAGCCGCAACAGCUGAAAACGCCCAACAAGAUCCUACGCAAAACAUUCACUCGUUAGUUUCACUAUCCAAGCAACUAACUCUUUGGGUUUGAGCAUCCAUAACCGGAAUUCUACAGUUCCUUUUAAAAUUAUCGGUUCAAACCAGUCUCGGUUUUGGAGCAGAAACUACUAAAAUAUUCAAAAAAAAUUUCCAUCAGAACUUAAUAUAAAUAUUUCAUUUUGUAUACAGUAUAACUAAACAGAUACUUGUAAUUAAUUUGGAUUGGUUUAGUUACACUAGACUUCGGUCUUUGUUCGGGUUAUAUUCUGUAUAUAUUAACUAUUAAGAGAUAAAAUCGUUCGGGAUAAGGAAACCAAAUUGUUCGAUUAUCCCGGUUCAAAAUUUAGCUUGGUUUAGUUUAUACAUAUACAAACGAAUAAAGCUUUGGCAUUAUAUUACCGCAUAAGCCUUGAUCCUUGAUAGGAGUCACAGCUCCUUUCUUCCUCCAAUCAACAGAAACCGGCAACGCAUCAGAAGAAACGUUUUGGUACCUAAACGACGUUGGUUUAGUUCGACUAGACAACACAGAGUUUCCUUUGAAACCAGUGUACAUAGAACGGAAUUCUUCGUUGGUUAGAUCAGCAAACUGGUUCACCGCGAGUUUAAACGUUAGUCCGGAUUGAACGUCAUUUAAGCGUUCAAUGCGUUCCACGUUGCGUUUGAAAACAGCGUAGCGGUUGUUUUUCUCGUUCGCAUCUGCGUAAACACGGCCGUGUUCGGUCAUCCACUCGGCAUGUCUCUUUUGCAUGGCGACUUCAUCGAGUAAUGGACGAGAAAGAGUGAUCGAUAAACUGAAUGAUGAAACUAGAGAGACAAUGAGAAAGAUUUGGAUCUGUGUUAAAGCCAUUUGGUUUAGAAAAGUUGAAGGAUAUUGAUACUAAUUUGAUUACUCCAAAAGGUUUUGGAAGUGGGGUUUUAUAGUGAAAAGGUUUGAUGUUAUUGGUAAUAUACCCAUGAAGUGAUUAGGACAAAGUAUUUUAAGUUUACACGUAAUGAUCAUCUUAUACAUCCAUGAUCCAUAUAUACAUAACCAGAUCGAUCAUGCAUGGCUUGUUAAGUUUAUUUAUGGUUGUUAAGUAUUUUUUCUACAUCAAAGAUCAAACUGAGAUACACUCAUCCUCUUCACUUUCAGUUUGGCUGCAUUUUUCGUUACAGCUGCGGUUUAAGUUUGUAAACAAAUACAUUUAAUAAUUAGAAAGUUGAACUUAUUAGACUUUAAUCUCUCUAGGCUUAUGAUAUUCGAACUUUGAAAUCGAAACUGGUUUUUGUUUUGGACAAAUAUAUUUAUUUAUUUGAAACUGAAAUUCAAAAUUAAGAAUGACAUGUGGAACAAAAAAACUGCAAAUAUAAUCUGAAAACAUAUUUGUUUGAAACUAACCAAUUUCAGCUACUCAAUGUAUGCAUGAAAAAACGUAAUUCAUUUGGUUUUCACAUGUUAAAUAUACUUCUGAUGCAUCAAAAUUAUUAAUCUCAUCAAAACAUGGAAUCUUCUUUUGUCUUUUAAUUAAUUAAUUAAUUAAAUUUAAAUUCAAGAAUUAGAUUUCCUUUAUUCAUAAGAGAACCAUCCGUGCAAGUUAAAAGCUUAAAACAAAGGGAAAAAAGAUUCGACAAAUUAAUUUCGAAUCAUAGUCACUCACAACAAAAGUGAACUUCAUUGCACUAAGUAGUACGUAUCUGUAGAUAAAUCUAAACCAUUUGCCCAAAAGUUUCCUGUUCGAUGAUGUUCCCACCAAUUUCAUCUAUUCGAAUUUCUAUGAACUUUUCCAUUUUGUCUAUAAAAUACAAUAUAAGUGGUAAUAAGUUUUAGUUAGGGACAAUAGAAGUAAAAUUAUAAAUCGGGCGCUAACAAAGAUGUUUACGGAAUGUCAUUUUUGGACAUAAAUCCAUAUUAUAAUUGGCCGAAGUGAGAACGAUGUCUAAACGACUAAAUAAAAAAAGAUACAUAUGUGGAACUAUCAUUAAUAAUAAAAAGAUACAUCAUACAUAUGUACAUAAAUUAAAAAAAAUGUUUUACUGAGUAAUAUAAUUAUUAUCAGACAAAAUUUAACUAUCAUCAAAACUUAUUCGUAAUUUGUACAUACAAGAAAUGAUUUAAAUUGUUGUUUCUAAAAUGAAAUCAACUAAACUUAACUGUUUCGAUGUCAUGAAAUGUAUCAAACUUUGUCCUAACUUUCAACAGGAAAAUUUGAACUACAUGCCAGCAUAAAAAAAUGUUCUAUAAAUCAACAUAAUUUACUUGCUAAGGAGGAUUAGAAGUCAAAUUGUAACGGCAAUAAGAAUAGUGAUAAGUGAACAUUCCAAAAUUAAAGCUUUGGGCUGAACACCUUCCACUUAAUCAUUUUGGAGAUAUGUUAAGAGCACCUCUAAUGGGGAAGGUUAUACCCGUUAGAGUUCUAAACAUACAUACAAAUAUAUUUAUAAUAAUAUUUAACUAUGGAAUUCUUAAUUUUAUGGAAAACUCAAUCUAAAUUUUUAAAAUCAUUUGGGUUGGGUUUUUUAUAAAAUUAAAGGCCCAAAAUUAAAUAUUAAUAUAUGUUAUAUAUUAAAAUUUCAAUGGAUAGAACCUCACUGUAGAUGCGUAUCCAAUAGCAAGAUGUGUAUUUUAAAGCCCAUGAAAUUUAUGAAGCUUAAACCAAAUAAUACUAUAUAAAAUCUAAAAUUUAUUAUGAUAAAGAUUAGAUGAUUUAGAUAUAUGUUAUAAAAUUUAAAUAAAUUUUAUUUUUAAUUGAGAUAGGUCUAUAUCUUGUGUCUAUAUAUAAUUCUCAUGUAAGUUAUUAAAACACAACACAAAAAUAUAUUUAUAUUCUCCAAUUUUACAAAUCACUAAUUUGGACUGUUAGCACUAGGUCAUGUAGAAAAAGGCAUCUAGAUUUCAUGUGGCGUAGGGAUGUUCCAAAGAAGGAAAAAUAAGCCAGGAGAGACACCUUGUUAGAGUGCGAUCAUACCUAAACAUAUUUGGAAGAGAAUUGUAUAUAUCAGGAAGAGUGACAUCCUCCUAAAUAUUUGCUUUGCGUCCUUAAUACUUAGGUUCACCCCUAUAGUGAAUGGUUAAAUUCACUCCAUUCUUUUUUUCUCAUAACUUAAAUAGAUUCUAUGAAGACUAUGCAAACUAAACUGAUAACUAUGCAUUUAUAUGAACAAAAACUGACAUUUGUUUCCUCGCAUUCUGCGCCAAACUGUCUGCCUUUGUAUUCACUUCAUUCUUUAUAACCAACCAAAGUAUCAUAUAGAUUAAUUAAAAAAGACAAUAACUUUUUUUUUAAAUGAUAUAGCUGAAAAAAAUGACACCGAUAUUAACGCCGUCUACAAAACUAUAAAUUCUAAAAACCUAAAAUCUAAAACAAUAAACCCUAAAUCCUAAACUCUAAACUAAAAACUCUAAACCAUAAACAUUAAUCCUCAAAUCUUAAAUCCUAAACAUAAAACUUUAAAAAAUAAACCCUAAAUCUUGAAAUCUAAACCUAAAACUCUAAACCAUAAACCCUAAAUCCUAAAAUCUAAAUUCUAAAUUCUAAAUCCUAAGAACUGGAGUGACAUUACAAAGAGUGGAGUGACAUUACAGCCAUAAAAAGAGUAUAAUAUCAACUUACCAAUGCACUUUAGUUGGUUAUAAACAUAAAUGAUACCAAAAGAGUAUAAUAUCAAGUAUGUGUAUUUAAGUUUUAAUGGUUUUAGAGCCAAAUUCCUGAAUAAAAAUUUGGUGUUAUUCACUUGGUUCGAAAAAUCAGGUUUAUUCAAGUUGAAUGAGCCAAAUGUUGUUUAAAUUUAUUGAAUCAAUAAUUAGGUUUUGUUAGAAUUUGAAUUGUUAUCUUUAAGAAUACGUUUUUCAUUCAAUCGUCAAAUUAAAAUCUCAUGUUGAAAAUUUUCUUUUCUCAUGGUACUGGAUUUAUAUGAGUAAUAUAAACAAAAUAAUUCAACAUCAACUGUUCAGUAAAAGAAUUCAAGGAUCCUAAAACGAACCUUAUUUCCAAUAAAUUAAAUUAAACGAUCUUAGAAAUAUUUUGUAUGCUACUCUAUUAUAUAUUAAUAAAGGAGAAAAAGAGAGAAAAAGGUGGUAAAAAAAUAGAAACCUCUGCUAUAAUUAAGCUUUAAUAAACUUAACAUUCUUAUAUUCAAAACCCUAUUGAAACUAAUUUUAAAUUAACAAACAAACGACUUACAUUUAGUUCUAGUCUAAAAAUAACAAUCGGGUUUCUAAUAUAAAACAAACUCGGUGCUCCACGAGAAAAGUUGUCCUCUUCUCAAACAUAACUCAACUUACCGUUUGAAACUAAACUAUUAUAAAGAGAAAUCAAAAAGAAGAAGAGACCACCAAACAAAAAACAAAACAAAGAAAAAAAUAUUUUAACAAAAAUGGCUGCCAAAGCAAUCGUCUUCUCUCUCUUUAUCGUCUCCACCGUGUGUUUGUCCUCUCUCGCCGGUUUUGCUGCCGCAGAUGCUGAUGAUUUUGACAUUUUCCAGAUUCAGGGAUCAGUUUACUGUGACACUUGCCGUGUCCAGUUUGUUACCCGUCUCAGCCAAUUCCUCGAAGGUAAAUUAAACAAUUUAUCAUGCAUGAAUGUAUGAAUAUAUUUGAGCCUGUAAUAAAAAAAUAGCACAUCAAACAUAACAUACGUUUCAUACAAAUUAACAUUGAAAUAGUUUGGGACGAGUAUGUGUUUGCGCACUCUAUCUUGCAUGUUAUAAUUAAGAAUGCAUGCAACGUCUUACAAUAAUAUAUCGGUUUCUGAAUCCGAAUGACUUGAUGCAGUUUGCAAAUAUUUUCUAAAUCAAUCUCAUAUUAUGUUCAAACAUUUAAGUAGUAUUUAAUUUGGUUUAUCAUUUUUUUGGUGUUUGUGAAGGGGCGAAAGUGAAGUUGGAGUGCAGAAGCAGAACAAACGGAACCCUAACGUUGACCAAAGAAGCCGUUACCGACAAAUCAGGAAGCUACAAGAUUGAAGUAACCGGUGACCACGAAGAAGAAGUUUGCGAGCUCGUGUUGGUCCAAUCACCGGACAUUGGUUGCAGUGAUGUCAGCAAAGAGGCUUAUUUACGUAACGCCGCUAAGAUCAGUUUAACGGCGAAUGACGGAAUCGUCUCUCACGAGACACGUAUCGUUAACCCUCUCGGUUUCAUGGUUAAGACCCCGUUAGCUGAUUGUCCCGCUGCUUUCAAGGAACUCGGUAUUGUCCCUGACGUCAUUUUCUAAGCGAAUAAACAAAAUAUAUGACGUGAGAGAUUUUUAUUUUGUAUUUGCUUCAUCUUCAAGGGGUUUUCGCCAAGUUUAACGAUAAUUUAUUAUUAUGAAUUAAUAUCCUCCUGAUUUGUUGAUGUUAAUUUCUCGUUUUUGUGUUUAAUUUGAAUGGUACCUUGUUGUUCUAUUGAAAAAAAGGAUGUGGCUAUUUUUGGGCAUACAAUGCUGAAGACACUAUCUAUUAUUAAUCAUUAAAACGAUACGGAACCAAAACCUCCGCCGCACACAAAUCACAAAGUCAAUCUAUUUAUAAAUGAUAAACGAUUUUAUAUACGGUUUCACGAUGGAUAGAUAGAUCUCUCUUUCCACAAUAUAAAGAAAACAGUUCUACAUGUAUUACACCUACAGUUACCAAUUUGUAGCUAUUAGCUGUAUAAUACAUCAUGUCGAGAGAGAAAAAGAAGAGUCUCCACGUUCUUGUCUGAUCAAAUCAAGACUCUACAACUUUUUGUCUAACUACUAUCCAAGUUCUAUUGUUCUAUUAUUAAUUUAUAGAUUAUGGUUCCUGAUUAUAGAUACAAAAAAACGUCAAAAGAAAAAAGAAACUGAAAAAUUUAUAGUCUCAAAGAAGUGUUUUUCAUAAGUUUUUAAUUAAAAAACCAAAAGAUGUUACUUCCACUCAAAACAAUAAAUAUGAAAAUAUAGAAGAUACAUAUGAAUAAAAAUGAUGAUAGUGUUAAUGUUUGUAUUCCUAGAGAUGAUAAUGGUUGUGAUGAUGUUUAUGAGAAUGAUCUUAAAAAUGCUGAUUGUUUGAAUGCAGAUGAUGAUGAUUUAGAAAAAGUAAAUGAUUAUAAGUUUGAUAUUUUUGAUCCAAGAAAUUGGAAUGUUCUUGAUUCUAAGAUGAUUGAUAUUUUAGUAGAAAACCUUAAAGAGAUAUGUCUAUUAAAAUGGUCCAAAAGAUAAAUUCAAUAGAUGCUUUUCUGCAAAGUGGUAUAAUAGAAUUUUGUUGAAUGGAGAAAAAUGCAAAAGAGAUUGGUUAGUCUACUGUAAGGAAAUUGAUAAAUUAUUUUGUUUUUGCUGUAAGAUAUUUAAAAAAUUUGUUGGAAAAUGUCAGUUCAAAUGAAGGUUGUAAAGAUUGGGCACAUCUUAGUUCUAGGCUUAAAAGAGCAUGAAACAAGUGUUGCACAUGUUAAGAAUAUGACAAUUUGGUAUGAUCUGCGUUUAAGCUUUUUCUCAAACUAUUGAUAAAGUGGCUCAAACACUAAUUUUAAAAGGAAAAGAUCAUUGGAAAAAAGUUUUGUUUAGACUUAUUUCUGUUGUAAAAUUUCUUGCAAAGCAUAAUCUUGCAUUUCAUGGUACUAAUGCUAAACUGUAUGAAAAUAACAAUGGAAAUUUUUUAGGACUUAUUUGAAUGUUAGUUGAAUUUGAUCCAGUUAUCAAAGAGCAUGUGGAAAGAAUUACAAAUGAUAGAUAUUCAUUUUCAUUAUCUUGGUCAUAAUACUCCAAAUGAAUUGAUAAUUUUGAUUGCUUCUGCAAUUAAAUCCAAAAUUUUAAGUAAAAUAAAACAAGCAAAAUAUUUUUCUUGAUACUUGAUUGUACUCCUGAUAAUGGCCACCAAGAACAAAUAUCUAUGAUAUUGAGGUAUGUAGACUAUUCUUCAGUACAUCGUUCAAUGUGUAUAUUUUUCCUAAAUGGAACUUUUUAUAAAAAGCUUACCAUGAUAACGAAUAAUAAAUAACUGCAGUAAACGUUCCAAUAUGCAUAAUGAAUAUUGUAAUAAUAUUAUUCUAGUACCUGUGUUUUUUAGAAAUCAUGUGAUAUAUAAUAUUUUUUUACAAUUUAAACGCUUAUAGUGGAAUAGAGGACGCCCAACAUAGUGCUUUGUGUGCAUGUCAAGUCAGCUAAGAUUUUGAUUGGUAAAGCAUUAGCAUUAUGUUCUACAUUAUCCAAUCAACAAUUGUUAAAAAACAUUUAGAAAAUUAUUUACUAAAUGCUAAUGGUUUCCAAAUGCUCUCUAGCCAAUGCUCUCAUGAAGCUUUUAGAAGAGCAUUUGCAUUUAUAAUUUAUAAAAUUAAGAAAAAUAUAUAAUUAAUUCAUUUAUUCAAUUUAAUAAUAUCAUAAAAUUAUUUUCACAUCCAGAAAAUAAAUUUUGAUUCCUAAAAUUAAUUUAAAAUAAAAAUAUUUUUUUAAAAAAUAGUAUUUCACAUUUAAAAUAUAAUUUAAUUUAAUUUAUGUAAUUUAAUUUAUUUUAAAUGUAAAAAANNNNNNNNNNNNNNNNNNNNNNNNNNNNNNNNNNNNNNNNNNNNNNNNNNNNNNNNNNNNNNNNNNNNNNNNNNNNNNNNNNNNNNNNNNNNNNNNNNNNUUCUUUUUUGAUCUUUUUGCUUUAUUUUAGUCUUCACUAAAUUAAUAUGAAGAUUAUAAAUUUGAUGGAUAAUAAUUAAUGGAAAAUUUUCAAUUGAAAAAACAUGACUUUAAUGAACACUAAAUAUGGAAGAGUGGAAAAACUUUUCUUUCAUAUUUCUGUUUUAUUUCAAAUUUUUAUUUUCAAAAUUUCAAGCUUUGAUUUUAGUUAUAGAUUUGAUUAUUUUAUUUGAUGGUAGAAGCAUUUUUACUUUUUUGUUCAUUUAUUUGAACAUGUAAUAUAUUUUUAAUAAAUGAAUGUGUUGACAAUAUAACUCUAAAAUUCAUAUAAUAUGAUCUCAAACUAAAUAAUUAUGUUUUUUUGUAUAAAACCGAAUAAACCGAAAACUGACGGUAUAUAAACCGAACCGAAGUAAAUAUGAAUUUAGAAUGGUAGUUAUAUUUUACUAACCGAAAUAUCGAAAACCGAAAAAACCGAACCUUAACCGAAAUAUCGAAAACCGAAAAAACCGAACCUAAACCGAACCGAUAUCCGGAUUGAACACCCUUGUGACAACCAAAUAUUUUAACCGUAUUAUUCCUUACUUUGUCAUUUUGACCUUUAUUUUAUUAUAUUUUUCUUCUCCUAUAUACACGCAACCAUAAUCAUAAUCAGACAUUCUUGUGAACGAGUUUAUUUUUUCUUUCUUGAAAUCAAAUGGACAAGUCUGAAGAAAUCGCUUACGCUUCUGUUCUGUCUAUUCUCUCACUCUUUCUUCUUAUCCUCCUCAUCUUCCUCCUCUUACUAUGCAGAAAGAAACCAAUCCGGUCCGACGAAUCUCUCCUUCCAAAAACCAAACCGGCGGGAACCACUUACCCUUUAACCGAAUUAGAUUCAGCAACCGACGGAUUUAGCCAGCGUCGAAUCAUCGGUAGCGGUCGGUUAGGAACGGUUUACGCAGCGGUUAUCCCGUCCCACAAAAACCUCGUCGCGGUCAAAAGAAUACACCCCGGUUUGGUUUUAAGCAAACCGGGUUCCGGUUUCACCACGGUUCUCAAAACGCUCUCUUCCGCUCUCCACCCCAACGUGGUCUCGAUCUUAGGCUUCUCGGAAGCUCCCGGCGAGAGGAUCCUCGUCACAGAAUUCGUCGGAGAAGCGAAAAGCUUGAGCGAUCACUUACACGGAGACUCCGAUAUCGAAUCGGCGGUUGCUAAUACCGUUUUCGACUGGCGUAAACGUUUCAGAGCCGCGGCGGGAGCGGCGAGAGGCUUGGAGUAUCUGCACGAGAUCGUAAACCCUAGAAUCAUCCACGGGCGCUUCACGUCUUCGAAUGUUCUCUUGGAUGACAAGUUCAUGGCGAAGGUCUCAGAUUACGGAUUCGCGUUCUUGAUUCCGCGCGAGAACUCUGAGGUUUCUUGGUACGUUGAGGAAGGGUACUGCAGAGAGAGCGAUGUGUACGGAUUCGGCGUCGUUUUGCUCGAGAUUCUGAGUGGGAGAAGAAGCGAGAACGGGUCGAUCGUGAAGUGGGCGACGCCGUUGAUCAAAGAGAAGAGGUUCGCUGAGCUUUUGGAUCCGAGGAUUGUUGUUGAAACAAUCAUUUUUCAAUUUUAUAUAGUACAUAAUUAAAUUUAAAUGAUAUUAACAUAUAUAUAUAUAAUAUAUUUUUAAUAUAUCUGUUAAAUGAUGCUUUCUAGUCAUAUUGGUUUUUGAUAUUUUGUAUUUUUUAUAAGGAAAACUUCAAAACACUAAUAACUAAAUUGUCAUUAUGGGAUGUUUAAUAGUCUUAGUAGUUUAUAACUUUUAAAAAAAAUUCAGUGCAAAGUUUUAAAACUUAAUAUUAAUUUGUCAAUAUUUGUUCAAAACUUUUAUCCAAAAAAUAAUUUGUUCAAGAAAAUUUUGAAACUAAAAUAUUUAUGUAUUUUUAUAUGGUAUAUAGUUUAAUUUAAACGAUAAUUACUUCCUACUUACACGAUUUUCACCUUAAUAUUUAUUAAAUGAGACUUCCUACUUAUAUGAUUUUGUAAAUCAUUUACAUCUUGUAAUAGCAAAAUUCUAAAAAAAAAAAACAGUGUGAGACUUUUAACAAUUUAAGUAAUUUAUAGUCAUUUUUAAAAAUUCAAAAUAUAACAUAUAUGGAAAAAUCUAAAUUUUAUUAUGUAGAUGUUUAAUUUAUUUUAAUAAUUUAAAAUUAUACAAAAAUGAUAGAGGAGACACUAAUUUUUAUCAAAUAUUUAUUAUUCCAAAUUAUUACUUUCUUAUGCAUUGAUAUAUUUUUUUCAUAAUUAGUGUUAUAUAUUUUAGAUUUUUUGCCAUAUAGCUAAUUGUCUUCAAAAUACUUGGACCAAAUCGUGUAAUAUGGCUAUUUCUGUACAAAUAUCCGAACUUGUUUAAGAUACAAUGAUUAUUUGAAUAUUUUUAAAUUCAUAUACAUCAGAACAAACUCAUCCAGACCUGAGAUAACCCACCUCGAAACCAACCCAACAAAAUUUAAUACCCGAGCGGGACCUAAUUUUAACAAAAAAAAACAGUACCCGAAAUAAACGAUAUGUACCUCAACGGAUACCCGAAUGUAAAUGUCUAACUAAUUCUAUAAACAAAUUUUAAAAAAAAACUCUUUGUUGACUGUUUUAAAUUCCUGUUACAAGCAAAUUUAUUUAAACCAGUCAAAUUAUUAUGGUCAACAUGUAAAAUAAAUGAUGUUAAAUUAUUCUGGUAAAAAUAAUUAAAGAAUUAGUUAUGAAGAACAAAAAAAGAAAGUAAAAAUGUAAUUAAACACUUUAAAAUAGGUAAUUUCUGUUUCGAACUUCUGUAAUAAAUAUUGUCAAAAUAUUUGGAAAAGAAUAAAUGAAAUGGUUAGAAUGUGUUAGAAAAGGAAAUAAAAAUUGUAAGAAAACACCUAAAUUUAGGAAAGUAUUUUUUGUACUUCAGUGGUAUAGUGCUAAUAAAAUAUAGUUAAGAGUAUUUUUGUAUAACUUUCCCAAGUAUUUGUUGUUAACGUUGGUUCUCAUAUGGUUUUCCCUAGCAACACUGUUUCUCAUUCUAUUACUAAUUUAAUUGGAUCGUGAAUCCUCUUGUGACCUAAUUAUUAUUUUAAAUAAAAAUGAAUUAGAAAAAGCUCUUUGAUUGUAACUAAAUAUUUUACCAUUUCUGAUAUACAAAUAAGCUAUUUCUGUAAUAUAUUUUUGUAACUGUAAUAUUUUGUCAAGUUAUAAUAUAUUUUUUUCAGAAUUUUUUAACGUUCUCAUACAUAUAUGAUCUACAAAAUUUUAAUCCUAUACAGGUUUAAUUUAUGCAUAAUAUUUUAGUUUUAUGACAAGUAAUGCACCUUCAUAAUGUAAAAAUAAUAACAAAAAGUAGCAUCUUUUUUAAUUUAACAAAUAUGAAAUCUUACUAGGCAACAAAAUACCUAAACAAAUAGUAGUUCUUCCUGCUGUAAGAAAACAAAUAUUUCCUUCAUAUAAUGAAAAGUAAAUAUUUUAUGAAUAAUAUAUUCAUUUUAUGAAAAGUUAAUGCAUCUUCAUAAUUUUCUAAUGUAAAGAAAAUAACAAAAUAGCAUUUGUAUAAUUUGACGAAUUUAGUAAUCUUACUAUGUACAUAAAUACCAAAACAAAUACUCCUUCUGUUUCAUUUUAAUUCUCAUUUUAGACUUAUGCAUACAAAUUAAGAAAAUAUUUAAUUUGUAUAUUUACUAAAUAAAAACAUCAUCACCAAUACAUAUAACCACAGUUUAACCAAUAAACAAAUAGAUUUGAAUAUAAAGUCAAUAAAUUUUGUAUUAAAAUUAUAAAACGACACUUAUUUUAAAACAAAAUUUUAAUUCUACAAUGACAAAAAUAUUUCACUCAUAUAUUAGCAAAAUGAAAAGUAUCUAUUUUGGUUUCCCUAAAAUAAAAAGUCCACAACCCAAUAUUUAUUGACCAUUCAGACGUAGUAUUCCUUACUUUGUCAUUUUGACCUUUAUUUUAUUACAUUUUUCUUCACCUAUAUACACGCAAACCCCAUAAUCAUAAUCAGACAUCCUUGAAUAAGUUUUUUUUUCUUUCCUGAAAUCAAAUGGACAAGUCUGAAGAAAUCGCUUACGCUUCUGUUCUGUCUAUUCUCUCACUCUUUCUUCUAAUCCUCCUCAUCUUCCUCCUCUUACUAUGCAGAAAGAAACCAAUCCGGUCCGACGAAUCUCUCCUUCCAAAAACCAAACCGGCGGGAACCACUUACCCUUUAACCGAAUUAGAUUCAGCAACCGACGGAUUUAGCCAGCGUCGAAUCAUCGGUAGCGGUCGGUUAGGAACGGUUUACGCAGCGGUUAUCCCGUCCCACAAAAACCUCGUCGCGGUCAAAAGAAUACACCCCGGUUUGGUUUUAAGCAAACCGGGUUCCGGUUUCACCACGGUUCUCAAAACGCUCUCCUCCGCUCUCCACCCCAACGUCGUCUCGAUCCUAGGCUUCUCGGAAGCUCCCGGGGAGAGGAUCGUCGUCACAGAAUUCGUCGGAGAAGCGAAAAGCCUGAGCGAUCACUUACACUCCGACUCCGACUCCGAUCUCGAAUCGGCGGUUGCUACAACCGUUUUCGACUGGCGUAAACGUUUCAGAGCCGCGGCGGGAGCGGCGAGAGGCUUGGAGUAUCUGCACGAGAUCGUAAACCCUAGAAUCAUCCACGGGCGCUUCACGUCUUCGAAUGUUCUCUUGGAUGACAAGUUCAUGGCGAAGGUCUCAGAUUACGGAUUCGCGUUUUUGAUUCCGCGCGAGAACUCUGAGGUUUCUUGGUACGUUGAGGAAGGGUACUGCAGAGAGAGCGAUGUGUACGGAUUCGGCGUCGUUUUGCUCGAGAUUCUGAGUGGGAGAAGAAGCGAGAACGGGUCGAUCGUGAAGUGGGCGACGCCGUUGAUCAAAGAGAAGAGGUUCGCUGAGCUUUUGGAUCCGAGGAUUGUUGUUGAGAGUGAGAUCAAGUGUUUGGUGAUAAGAUUAGCGAAGGUUGCUUUGGCUUGCGUCGGGAACUCGCGGAGGAGUCGGCCGUCGGUUUCGCAGGUGGCGGCGAUUUUGAACAGUUUGGAGAGGGAAGGAGGGGGGAUUUGAACAAUUCGAGAAGUUUUGGGGUUUUACGGUGAAUAUUGAGAAUAUAUUAGGGGUAAGUUAGUUAUUAAUGAAACAGUUCUGUUAAUGCUACUUAGGCCGUGUACAUUAAUUUUUUACUUUUGGGGGGUAUAUAAUCGGUUUCGUAUGAUUUAAUUAAUGCUUUUAUUCACAUCAAUCUAUAAAAUUGGGAAUAUUAUAAUCGAAUAUUAUUGAUAUGUUAAAAAUAAUUUUGGUAUGCUCUGUCGGAAACAAUUAUAGAUUACGAGGAUUUAUAAUUAAAAUAUGGUAAGUGUGUACGAAAGAUUGUUUAAAAUUUACUCGGGCCCUUCAUAAUUUGACGAGACUUGGAAGGUAGGUUAUCGUCAAAAUUAGACGGUGGACCUAAUCUUUGCACCUUGUGCUUUGUGGAACAAGUCAGUUUUGUCUUUUGCUAGUAAAAAAGUUUGGUAGGUUUUUAUUUAAUUUUUGUUCGGUUUAAUUUAGUGUUGCUUCAUUUAAGUUGGCAGCUGAGUUAAUUCAGAGUUUAAGUGGUUGAUUAAAUGUAACAAUUGUUAUGAAUUAUCAAUAGUUAUUUAUUUGUUUUGUAACAUUCACAGCAUUAUAUUUUGUAAACUGGAAUUUUUGAAAAUUGACGUACACGGCGGUUGCUGUAGACCAGUUAGACUUUUUUUUUUUAACUGAAUAAUUUGUUUAAAGUUCAACAGUUAUGAAAGUAUGUUUUUUCUAGAAACAGAAAGAAAUGACAUAAGAAAACCCUUCAAAGCUAAGAAAAUUAUUAAUUUAACACUUUAAAAAUGCACACACGCCUUUCUAAGACUGAAUAAAAACAUAGAUUGAUACUUUACCCUGGAUGUACAUUACUGCAAAGAACGUUCUACUUCUUCUAACAACAUGUACGUAACAUAAUUCAACAAUAAUCUAUCACCGAUGACUUAACUAAGAGAUUAUCAUAUUACGCUAGUACACAUAUCAUACUAUCAUAGCCUAAUUAACUGUAGUUAUUCAGCUAAUUAAGAGUAUGACUACUGAUAAACUCUAAGAAAAUUAGAAAAGUCUCUCAUUAGUUAUGAAUAAAAAUUAACCGAAAAUUAGAAAGGACGUAAAGAAUCAUUUAAAAUAUGUCACAAUUUUAAAUAGUUAAUUUUAUUUUCAUAUUAAAAUUUCAUUUAAGUAAUUUAAUGUGUUUCUCUCUGAUGAUCUAAAAUUUUAUCGGCGUCACAUCGCAUACGUCUGGUCAUGCAUUGAUGCACAGAAGACCAUAUCAUGAAGUUUUUAAAAAAAUCUUAGAAUCAGUCCAUCAAACCUAAUUAGUCAAUAAUGUUGACUGAGAAUUAAAGAGUAAAAUACCAAUAUCAAAAGCAAAUAGUUGAACAAGAUCAAGACAAUUCUGAAGGAAAAAAAGGUCGACGAAUCAAAAUGUCAAAACACUAAACCGACUCAAGCCAAACGCAUGUUAAUACACAUUGACACCCAAAUAUUUUAAGAAUCAUAAACAUUUUAGUAUAUUUUUUAAAAAAAUAUUUAGAGUAUAAAACCUAAGUAUAUUUACUUCUUUUUUUGAACAAAAUCUUUAAAAUUAUAUAACCAAGAUUAAUAUGCCUGGGGCUGGAACCAAACCUGACAAACAAAAAAACACAGACGCACACGUAAACCCAUGACGAAGGAAUUAAGGACGCAAAAACCCGCAUCUACUACGAAGGCUACGAAUGGGAUGCAGAAUAAAAACAAAAGAAAAAUAGAAUAAAUGAUUAUGCAGUUCUAUAUGCAUUUGAUACCCAUUUAUCAUUUAAUAUGCAGAAUCAAAAAAAAAAUAUUUAAACUAUAUGCAGGACAUAUAGUGUGUAAAAAAAAACUGUACACAAUCAUAUGAUACAAGGGGCUGGUAAAAUAAAAAUCUCCAAUGAGUGAUUUUUUUACCUAUAAAUACUAUACACAAUUUCAUUUUUUCAUUCAUUAACCAAAAAAAUCUUUUAAAUAUUUAGUUUUUUGGUUUUAAUAUUUAUUAACUUUAAGAUUAACUUUUAUAAAGAUAUGGAAAAUGAUAUAUUCUUCAUAUAAAUAGAUAUAUUAAAUUCUAUAAUAUUUUCAUAUUGUCCGCAUAUGCAGGCAUAAUAUUUUACAAAUAUUGUCAGUUUAUGUAUUAUUAAUUCAAAAACCAGCAUAAUAAGUUAUUAUGUAUGUUCUUACAAUGUUUAAAUCAAACCAAAUUAUUUAUAUAUGACAAUUUAUUUUCAUCAAAAUAUAUAUAUGCUUAUUACUAUAUUGAAAUUUCAAAAAAUUACAUAUUAAAAAUAUUUUUAAAGAUAUAUUUAUAAAAAUAAUUUUGCUUGACUAAUAUUUAAUUGUAAAUUUUUGUCAUAUCUUAAUUUUUAAAUUUUAAGAUAGAAAAUAUUUUUUGGAGAAAAUAACACAAUAUAUCUUACUUUUAAAAAAAUAUAUUUUUGAAAUUUAUUAUACUAAUUUAUAAUCAAUUAUCUAAUAUCACUGAUAAAUCUAAUAUUAUUAACAUAAACUUUGUUUUUAAAUAUAUAAUAAAUUAUAUAUAAAAAUUCUUUAAAGGAUAUAUUGAUAUUAACCAUUCCCACUUUUAACGUGGGAGCUCAAAUGCAAAAAAUCAAUUCUUAAAUAAUAGUAUAGAUUUAUAUACUUGACAUAUUAAUAUAUUUAAUAUAACUUCUGUAAAAGGUAUUUAUACACAUUAUUUUAUAUGCUAUAAAAACAUAUAACUGCAAUAAAACUCUUAUAUAAGUUAUAUUUUAUAUUAUUUUAAAAAUUUUAUUUUCUUUUUAUAUUAUUUUUAGAUUCUAAAAAUGAUAUAUAAAUUUAUAAAAAUAAUUUUAUAGUGAUACAUAUAUAUAGUUACUUAAAUUAAAUUUACAGUUGAAUAAAGUCCGACCAUUGAUCCAAUUGUAAUAUCGAGUUAAUGUCCGGUUCGGUUUUCCAAAAUUACAUUCGUUUAAAUAUGAUAAUUCGUUAAAUUAGUUUAACGAGUUUAAUCUGAAUUUGUUAUGUUUAAUCUGCAUGAUAUGCAUUGUUCAGUUUGAUAUGUUUAAUCUGCAUGAUAUGCAUUGUUCAGUUUGAUAAUGAAGAUCUGCAUUAUUCACUCGAAGCCUAAAAACUAAAAGAAAAUUACCAAUCAUUUGUCCAAGUAACAAAAAUGUUAGACUUGAUGUCACAUCAGAUUAUACAAGCCCUGCGUAGAAGAAGAGCUAUAUCUUUUUUUAUGCAACACCGAUACUUUCUAAAUCCCAUUGUCAAUAAUGUUAUCUGGCAACCGGAUUUGUCUGGCGCUAGUAGAUAGAUCCCCGAGAAUUUAUUGGUUGGAUCUCGGUCGGCCUAAUAUUCCAGGUCAUUAAAAAAAAUUGUUAACUGAGAGAUGAAAGACAAAAAUGAAAUCCAAAGCAAAACGGUCAAACUCAAGCUCAACAGAACUCUGAGAACAUAAAGUCUACAAAUUUCAAAGUCCAACAGCAAACCGACUCAAGGUCCCACAACAUUAAAUACCACAAAAACACUCAUAAACCCUACACCUCAGUUUUAAUAGAACAAUGCUUAACUCAGAGCCUUGCUAAAGCAAACUCUAUACUAAUCUCUAAAGACAGAAACUUCGAGACUAAAACAUGUUUCUCCCCUCACUCUGUACAGAGUUUGUCCCACGGAAGUAGCUUGUCACUGUCUCUUUCUCUCUUCUUUCUCUAACGCUUUCUUGGGAAGAACAUGAGCUUCAUACAAAGCGAGAAUCUCUUUCUUGCUCUGAUGGCCUUUGUUCAGUAGCAAAUGUCCGCAAUCAUACUUCGUCAGUUCAUGCUUAAGAUUCUGCACUGUUAGCUUCCUGUAAUCUUCCGUUUCCUCCUCUUCUUCGCCUUGCUGGUUUUGAGUGUCCUCAUCGCCUCUAGAAACCGAAACACCAUCCUCAUAACCACCAUUAUCAUCUCCUCUGGUGCUUCGAGAUCGUUUGUUAGUCCUCAAGAUUCUAUCACUUGUUUCUCCAAUGUCCAUAUCGACAACAUCUUCCAUUCUGGACCGUUUCCCACGAGAUGAACUCGCAGCUCUGAUCUUGUUGUCCAAUGCAGUUUCUUUCAACCUAGCUUGAGCUAGUUCUUGCUGAAGAUUAUCAACAGUUGCCUGUGCAGCUUGCAGCUCAAGAGAAAGAGCUUCAGCUCUUCUGUUGGCGGCUAUAUGAGCCGUACGCUCUUCAUCCAACAGCUUCUCCAACGACUUCACGUUAUGCGCCCUCUGUUCGUUGGUUAGUUUUAACAAUGACUCGAUCUCUUUCUCUCUUUCUCCGACUCUUGCUUCUAAGACUGUAACCUUGGACACAGCCUCCAUCUCAGACACACGAAGUCUGUGCAAUUCAUCUUCCAAGUCAGUCUUCUGCCUCUCCAAGUUUUCGAUUUGCCUCUGAGCUCGCUCGAUCUGAGCAAGUCUUUCCAUUGCCAAGCUCUGACUCUCACUUUUCUCCUUUUGGGAAGUGACGGCAUCAGCUCGAGCUUUGUCCGCCAGUUCAGUAGCACGUUUAGCUUCUAUUUCAGCUGUUUUGCAUCUCUCUUGUACUUCAUCGAAUCUCUCAAAGUCAGAUCGGUACUUUUGCUCCAGACGGAUUUUCUCCUGUUCCAACUUGUUUGCCUCUUUUUCAUAUGUUAAAGCCUUUGUGUUGGCACUGUCUAACCUAUCAAUCAUUUCCCUUAACUCCAAUUUCAGUGAUGCUGUUUCCACGUCAAAGCUUCUGAUUUUAGACUCUGCUGCCUGCAAAAGACACCACAAUAGCUUUAGAUCCAGAUGCUCAACUGACCAACUUAUCAGAAUGUAUCACAUAGAAGGAUAGGAUUAGCAAGGCAAAGCUAAAAUAGAAAGCUCACCUUUAACUCUGAUCUUAGAACCGUAAGAGACUGCUCUGCCUUCUCAAUUUUUGUAGUCUUCUCCUUAAUUUCUUCAUCCUGAAAUCAGUUAACACCUCAUAUUGAUGAAAUACAGAUGAAUAAAAAUCUUAAAGUCAUCUCUUUAACAAAUUGGGACAAAGAGAGGUACCUUUUCAGUUAAAGUCAAUGUAAAUUCCUCCCUAAGAGCAUCUUCUCUCAAUUGCGUUUCCUUGCCUGAACGUUCUUGCACCGAAGCAGCCUUUUGAAGAGCCGAUCUUGCCUCUCCCACAGCAUAAUCAUACUUUCUUUUCCAUUCCUCGGUCUCUUCCUGAGCGGAUUUGGCUUGUUCUCUAGCUGCAGAGAGCCUAGCUUCAGAAGUAGUACUUCGUGUCCUAAGAACUUCCAUAUCAGAUUUAAGCUGAUCUUCAACAGCUUUCUGUUUCAAAACAAACUGGUCGUACUUUCUUUUCCAUUCCUUGAUUUCUUCUUGUUUAGAUUCCAAUGUUUUGACCAAAGUGGAGCAUCGCUCAUUCAGCGAACUGUUCUCCCCCUGUAGUUUAGUUAUGCGUUCUCUGUAUAUAUCUUCCAGCUUCUUCUUGUCGAUGUUGGAUUCAUCAUAACGUUUCUGGUAUUCCAGCUUGUAUCUCUCGCUAUCAUCCAACUGCUGCUUCAGAUGCUUCAUCGCAUCUUCAACAGAACGGAAUUUCACUGCCAGUGAGUUCUUCUCUAUAGCGAUGUUAUCUAUAAGCCUUUUGGUGAGAUCAUAUAUCGGUCCCUCCAAGCUGCAUGAUUAAAAUUCGAGAAUUAAAUGGGUAAAAUAUAUGAACAAACCUUUAAAGAAACAUACACCGAUACACGUAAAUCAAAAUGAGUGAGGGGGACUAGUAGUAACUACCUUUGUUGCAAGAAAACAGAAAGUUUCUGCCAUUUCCCUGGGCCAUGGCAUGAUGCUUCGUAGUCUGACAAACGAGCUUCUAGAACCUGAUACACAAUCGAUCCAUACAUAAGACAAUCAACAACCAACUAAAACCACGGGAACUUCCAUCCUUGGUACAUCUAGUCGAAAAAUAUAUAUCCAUAAGUAACCAACCUUGACAACAUUAUCCAUAUUCGCAUUAGAGGCAUGGCAAGCUGCUCUCAGCUGCUUCUCCAUACUUUGGAUAGCACUCGUGCAUCGCAAAUCUGCCUCCAUGAAUGCAUUUCUUUUGUAAUCCUGAAUCAAGAAAAGAUAGUCUACAUCAGCAUAACGAAGUGAGAAGAGAAAAUUCAUGUGGAGGUUGAGGAAACGAGAAAUGUAACUAAAACAGUCGGAUUUUAAAAACAAGUACUUUAUUACUGCAUAGCACUGGUUUAGAGUCCAUUACCGCAAAUUUUUUCUUCAAGUCCUUGUGAAGAAGAUCCUCGUAUCUUUUUCUUGCUAUACCAGCCCCUACAGCAUUGGCGUUAAACAUAGCCAAGGCUUUUCGAACUGCUUCUUCAUGUUCUUCCCUCAGUGCACCCUAUAUAGCAGAAUUGGAAUGAAUCAUAACAUAAAUUACAAAUAACGGGAGGCUAAAGACAGGUGCUUACUUCUUCAGGAGCUUUUGAAUGGUCAAAGGCAGCCAAAUAAGCUUCUAUACCAGAAUCAUAUGCUCUUCGACACUCAGUUUCUUCGACAUUCUACAAGAACAUAAUCAAGAAAAAUCAAUUUAUGAAGUAUUUGAGGGAAAAUAAGUAAAAGGAUGCAUUAGUAAAAACAUCCCAACUAAUCCCCGCGAUGGUUUCCAAGUACACAAAUGUCUGAACGCAUUAAUCAACCAUAUGUUUACAUUAUGUAAAGUGAACCCCGCCCUAUCUAGUCAAAUCCUUCAAGUCUCAGGUUUUAAUCCUUCAAGAAAAGGAAUGGCUUUUGACUUUAAAUGUAUCAAACAUCCACGAAGGCAAGAGAUCUCAAACCUGCCAAGCUGAGGUUAUCGUUGGCACAGCACCAUUGUUCAACGCAUCCAGAUAAGACUGUGUAAUAGCAGCAAGUACAGGACCCGUCAUCACAGUACCCCCUAACUGCUUGGGCCUCGUCUUCUCAAAAACAAACUUGGUAAAUGCAUCCAGGCCAGCGGCAAACUCACCUCUCAAAUCUUUCAACUGCAUAGACACAAUGGAAUUUAUGUAACCAAGUAUUAUACAAACCUGUAAGCGUAGUAUAAUAAGUGAAGGAGCGUGCAAAGAAUGAUACUAACCGGAAUUUGGUCAAGUCUCUGGAGGUCCUUUUCAUUGGUCAAAGGCCUUACUAGGGUGAAACAUUCUCUGUCCGGAAAAAGUGCACGGAUCGAAUCUCGGAUCUGCAAAACCAUUGCUCACAUUAGCAUUGACUCCCAAUUGUGCUAACAAAAAAACAUUACACUUGAUCGCCACACCCAGAUUUCUCAUAGACUGGACGACUAUCUAAAUGAACAUACCAAAAAAUCAAAGCACAUGCAACCAUUACCUCAUUUUUAGAACCAAUAUCUCCUCCACCACCUUGAACCGGCCUUAACGCAAUUUCUAAAUAGUCACGCGGAGAAAUCUUGCGGUUAUCUUCUUCUAGGUCCAAAUAAAAGUCCUGCAAGUAGGCAUAUCCAAGGUUAAUAUAUAAGACAUGGUAUCGAAAACAAAUAUACAUUAAAAAAUAGCAGAGGCGAUUACCCUAAGGAGCCAGACAAAGAUGGGAGAAAACUGUCCAAGUUCAGAACGUGAGCUCGUUCCUUCAGACGCUUUUACACGGAUAUGCUUUGUCAUUUGAGUGACAAGAGAAAGACGAUCGAGUGAAGCUUCGUCGAUACCACCCAUCUGAAACACACAAAAGAACAACACCUAAUAAGCACAAUCUAAGGAAGAGAUACGCACAAAACGAGAAGUGGAAACUAAACAAACCUGAUUGUAUACGAACAUGCUUGACAGAAGAACAGCUAAUGAGAAUAUCUGAGUGCUGUAUGUACCCUGUUGCAUCGGAAAGAAAGUGAAUGAGACCAUGUUAAGAAAAGUGAAGUAAUUUAAACGAUAAAUCAAAAGUUUUUACUCACCGUUUGGUCGUAAGCAUCAAUGCCUUCACUAUCUAAGAGCAAAAGGUUAUACUCAGAUCCAUCAAGAGCAGUUCGUUUGAUAGGAGAACUCCACAACCAAAGCCCCUUUGUACAAGGCUUGUGCGUUGACGCUACUUGAAACCCAUUACUUCGCCCAAGAAGCUACAACAAAACCAAUUGAAUCAAACAAACACUACUCACUCUAAGAUCAAAAGGAGGAAAAAAUAAACAGAUUACCUGAUUGAGAAUAAAGCUCUUGCCUUGACGAGCUCUACCACAAACCGAGACAACGCCGAUGGGCUCCUUGACGAGUAGCAGAGUAGCAACUGCUUCAGGGUCCAUCCGGAACUUUCCUUUCUCAUCGCAGUACACUAGCCGAAUCGGUCUCGGUGGUCCCGUCACAGCAGACGACGAAGCCGGAGACGUCGAAGGGUAUGAUCUCGGCGACGGGGAAGCGGAACUAGACGGCGGAUCUUUGGCUCCUCGACUGAAAAAGCUCCUCAUCUCCGCAAGCUUCGAAGUUCGUGAAGAUUCGUCACUUCAAAAUUUCGCUCGAUGUUUGGAGAUUUUUUUUUCCUGGAUUUUAGAGUGGUUUUGAAAAAGAGGGGAAAGUAGCGUCAAGAUGACGAAGUAGAGACCUAAGAUCCGUUCGAGACAGAUGGAUAGCUAUGUGGGCCUUACUGGGCCAAAAUGUGUAUUUUUCGAGCCCAAUGCAAAAUAAGUCUUAACCUUACUCUUGCACAUUCUUAUAGAGCGACAACUAAGAAAAAAGGUGAAGAGAAGCAACGUUUAACGAAUUUAGUAGGUUAACCCUUUCGGCAUGUUUAUCGGAGAGUUCUUAGGAUGAGUUCUUAGCGUAAUAUAAGAACCGUUUUUUAACUUUAACUAAGAAAAAUUAAGAAUUGUCUCUUAAAACUCUUAUUUAAGAGCCUAUUUUUAGUUUUUCUUAGUUAAAGUUAAGAAACGGUUCUUUUAUUACGUUAAGAAAACCCUGCAAUAAACAUGGCCUGAGCUGGUCCGGUCCUGGGCAUAGUGAAGUGAGCUGGUCUCUACCUUUUUGGUAAAUGAAGAGUUUUAUAUAGGAAAACACAACAAUAAUUGGAAUGAAAAUUAUUAUAGAGAUAAAAAUAACAAUGGAUUGAAGCUUAAAACCAACUAGUACGCGUACAAUCAAGAUGGUGCAUUUUCAUAAUGCUUUAACUAAAUCUAAAACCCCGCUCACGAAAGAUUAUUAUUUCUUGCUCUUGACGGUUCUAAACUUGACUAACCUCAUCUUCUUCUUUAUCUUGGUUAGGUUUUACGUGUACAGAGCUGAGAUUACUGUUUCAGUAAAUGUAAAACAAAAGGCAACGAAGGUGAUAGAUAACAACGAGUGUCAGUAGAUAUUACAGCAUAAGGGCAAUGUCUAAAAAGGACUUGCAUGGUUUUCAAUAAAGAUCAAUCGUCUCGGUAGUUAAACUUCCUUUUAACAGACACACGUUCAUCUUCAUCCUCUUCCUCCACUUCUUCUUCUUCUUGUUCAUAUACUUCCUCUUCCUCUACUUCCUCUUCUUGCUCAACAUCAUCUUCCACAGUAUUGACCCUCUCGCACUCAUCAAUCCAUUCGCUGUAGCUGCAUUAGUUUCACAGAGGCUUAGAAAAAAACAGAGUGAAAGAAGAAGAAGAAGAAGAAGAUAGUGUACUUACAUGUCUAUAGCUUCACUCAAAGCUGCAAGAAAACAAAAGAUUGAUCAAAUAUGGAAAGCAAAAAACUGAUUAUAUAUAGCAAUGUCACGAUUAGAGAGCAGCAUGAAAAGGAACCUGUGAUAGUAGUGCUAAAGCUUUCUUCACAGAUUCUACAAGUGGCAAUACCAAUCAUCUCCUUCAUAUUACUGUUAAGAAAAACAAAAUCUUCAACAAAUCUGUCGUAGCUCAUUAAAGCUAUAAGAAAGAAGGUUACAUUUGGCAUUCGACACUAGAGCCGUGAUUGCAAAAAGGACAGCUAAAGACAGUGUCAAGCUUGUCCAUUCGCUUCGUUGUAGCAGGCUUUGCCCUUGACUUCCUCUUCCCCAUUGCUUAACCACCCCUUAGGCCACAAUCCAAAACAAAUAUAAAAAUCAAUACUUUAAUCUCUAGUUUGAGGAAAAUACCCACAAGGAUCCAACUUUAGAAAAUAAAAUCGAAAACCCAUAACUUGCGAAUCUAUAAAAAUUCAAAAGAAUCAGAGCCAAGGCUCAAGAAAAUACCCUAAUUAAGAUCAAAUAUUCACAAGCCCAAGUUUGAUAAUUUGGUAAAGACAAAGGUUGCUGUUCCGAAGCAAACAAUGAAUUGAGAAACUGACAAACCUGUUAUUAUUGCACAAGAUCGAUUCCUCGAAGAAGAGCGAGAUACGAAACCCUAGAAAGAUGUCAAUUGGGGGAGAAAGGGAAAAGGAGUUAGAUGCAAUUUUGAUAUUUUUUUCUAGACAGCAACGACGCCGUUUUUAUCAUAACUCAUAAACGACAUCGUUUAGCAGUUAACACCAAAAGGAGCUGAUGACCGUUCGAUCUACAUAGGUUCACACGGAUUCUUAACUACACCGCGAUACAGAGGAACAAAUCGCAGUUACACACUGAAAACGAACACAGAAUCCCCCAAAAGAAGCCACCUUUAGGGUUUUCGUCUCCAAAUCGCUUUCGAAUCGAUUCGUCACGAAUCCAAUCCCCUGGGUUUCUCUCCUCCAGUUUUCGAUUUCAAUCUCUUUGUCGUGAGAAGCGAUGGGAAGAGGCAAGUUCAAGGGGAAACCUACUGGCCAGCGACGAUUCUCAAGUGCAGCUGAUAUUCGUAAGAUAUUUAUCGAAUUUGCAGUUUCUGAUUGUUAUAUAUAUAUUUUGCAAUUAAAGAAGUGAGAUAUUUGUAUCGGGUCUUGUUCUAAUCGGUCUUGUCUUGAUUCAGCUUUUUUGAAGUUUUAAUAGCUUAUAAGAUCUGGUCUUUACCGUUGCUUUAGCUUUUAAAUUGGAUGUGUUGAAUUGACUUGUACUGUCUUGUUACUUGUUUGUUUGAGAGAAUCAUGUGUAAAGUCUCUUUCUUGGAUGAUCUUUUGGUCUUGGGUUUCUCUUCAGAUGUGUUCAGUUUAGUGUGAUGUUUUUGUCUUCUGUUCUGUUGUUGCUUUAGCUGCGUGUUUGAGAGAAUCGUGUGUAAAGACUCUGUAUUGGUUUGGAUUGUCUUUUAACAGAUGUGUUCAAUUUAGUGUGAUGUUUUUGUGUGCUGUGUAGUUGCUGGAACUUCUGCUGCGCGUCCUCGGUCAUUCAAGCAGGUACUUUGGUUGUUUUCUCUCUUACAUGUUUGUUGACUUGUGUGUGGUUAAUGAAUUGGCCUUUUUUUGAUGAAAUUAUCAGAAAGAAGCUGAGUACGAGGAAGAUGUUGAAGAGGAGUCUGAAGAGGAAUCUGAAGAGGAAUCCGAAGAUGAAUCUGAUGUGAGUGUAAAACCCACCCUUAGAAUCUUAUCUGACCUCCUUCAUCUAUUUUAAUUAUUUGAGACGAUUGGUAUAAUACUAUCAGGUGAAGAAGAAAGGACAUGAAUCUCUUAUCGAAGUUGACAAUCCUAACAGAGCCAAACCAAAGACUUUGAAAGCUAGAGACCUUGAUGUAAGCUUUCUGUGUUGGUCAGUUUCUGUGAAUCUACUUAAAUAUGUUUGUCUUAAUAACUUUGUUUUUUUUUUCUCUCUCUCUGUUUCUUAUUAUUAGGCUAGUAAAACCACUGAACUCUCAAGGCGUGAAAGGUUUGUUUCUGAUUUUCCUCUCAUUCAACAUUUCUUAUUCAAGGAGCUUCUUACAGUUCCACCUUAUAUGGUGUUUUGCAGGGAGGAGCUAGAGAAGCAGCGAGCUCAUGAGCGUUACAUGAGGUUGCAGGAGCAAGGCAAAACCGAACAAGCAAGAAAGGAUUUGGGUAAACUACUAUGAAUCUCAUCUUGUUCUCUCUCACUUGUUUCUUUCUAUAUUACCAAAUGGGUUUGUCUGUGUGUGUAUAGAUCGUCUGGCUCUGAUUCGCCAACAGAGAGAAGAAGCGGCCAAGAAGCGAGAAGAGGAAAAAGCAGGUAAUAAACCUCUUUAACAACCACCUUCUCUUACAAUGCUUUUUUAGUUUCGCUUCUGAUUUUUCAAUGUCUCUGUUUAUUGUAGCGAAAGACGCCAAGAAAGUAGAUGCUCGCAAAUGAGACAAGUGUUCACCCUUUAAAAAACAACCUACCUAAAAAAAAGAAGAAUACUCAUCGAAUUUUACUUUGUUCUUUUUUCGAUUGGUAACAGAUCAUAAAACAUUUGCCUAAUACUUUGUACCGUGGGGAUUACUCCAUCUUAAUACAUUUGAAGUUAAUAAUCUCUUUGUCUUGCUUUGUUUUUCAAGUCUUUUUAGUUUGGUUUGCAAGAAAUCCUAAACUUAAGCCAAAACUUGCUCUAGUUUGAUAAUAAGGGUUUGCAGUUAGUCUGCGCCUUCGACUUCGUGUAGUUGGAUCGUGCUUUGUUUGACGUCUGUCCGUUCAAGAUGGGUUAACCGUACCACUGAAGAUGAAUUGGUAGAAAAUUCGAUAUUUAUUUGGUUCCCAUUCCGGUUAGAAGAAUUAAUUAUGUAACUGAGAAUUUUAAAGAGGAAAACUGUAGCAUUGGUAACUCGCAGGACCAGUUUACAAUUAUUUAAAACAAGAUUUGUAUUUAAAUCCAACUUAAAAAAAAAAAAGUAAAACAACCAGUGCCACUCCAAGUAGAAUAUUGGAGAAAGACAAAUUUUAAAGAGGAAAAAUAAAAAGAUUCCGAUAAUCCUUCAAACAGAUUUAGUGAUACAACACUUCCAUGGUUACCAACUUGCCAAAUCGAUACCUUAUAGAUCGAUAAUGGCAUGAGAAAAGAACAGAUCCAAACAUAGACUAUCACCGUAGUUAACCACCACUUGAGCUUUGUUCAAAACAGUUUACCCGCCCUCAAAGCAGAUAGCUUAUUAGAAGCUCGAUGGUUCGUGCAACUCCAUCACCCUCUCAACAAAUCCCACACCAUACCAACACCGACAGUCGAAAACCUCACUAUAACCAGUGAAAACCCCAAAAAGAGCGGCAAAUCCCGACUUGAAUCUUCAACGGACAUCUUUGAGAAAGAAUCACCAGAUCAUGUCCUCUUAAGUCCAGAUCUGCGUAAACGUGUUGCUUCCAACCACCUUACAACGCACAUAGUAACCACCAGAGAAGAAACGGUGACCCGCCAUAAGAUCAGUAAAUAUAACAUCACAAAACCAAAGUUUGAAGAACUGGAGCAAGGAAAAUGUAAAGAGAAACAACGUUUGGUGUUAUACUCUCAGCAUUUGAACUGUUAUAUCGUUCUGUAUAAACUUUAAUUCUAAAUAUAAUACAAUUGUCCAAAAAAAAUAAGUUUGAUAUAUUGAUAAGUAAAAACAACAUAAUAUAUUAUUUUUAAUUUGCAAGCUGAUCAAUUAUAUGUGUGGCAUGCAGUGACUGAUCCAACUUUAUAUUUUAAAAGGGUUCACAAUUUGAUUUUAGCCCAACCUCUAAAAUAUAUUAGAGAAAAGAGUAAAAAAGAAUGGUAUCAAACAGACUAGAGAAAAGGUGGAUCACUAUGGGGAAAAAGAAACCAACAGAGCUGCUGAAUAAAAACUGAUGAAUGGAAAAACACUGACAUAUAUAUAUAAUUAACCUGUGUCAUGUGAUCCAUUAUUUCUCAGCGUGAAACAGCCUCUGGUGGCAUGAAAUUGUUUAUGACGAAUAAAUCCCUUUUGUCAUUACAAAAAAACAAAAAAAAAAACGAAAUACUUGUAUUAUUUAAAUUCGGAAAUAUUAGAGGAAAAAGCAUGUUCUUGAUCUCUUGGUCUUUAAGGGCUUUAUCUUCUUCUUUGCCUUUGGUGGCCUCAAAGCUACCCGGAUCGCUGUAUCAAACACUGACUUCACAUUCUGACAAAGGAAAAACCAGAAUUCAGCUUGAUUAUAUUUUAUUUCAACCUAAUGUUUAAUAUAAAUGUACUCAUAUGAAAUCAUAUACCUGUUGGGUUUUGGAGCUGCAUUCUAAGUACCUGACGGCUCCAAUCAUCUUUCUUAGUUCUUCUCCCUGUUACUCAAAUUCAUCAUACUAUUACAGCCACAGUUAUGACUUUUUGUAACAUAUAGACAUAUAUAUAUUUGUAUUUGUAAAAAUAAAUAUGAUAUCUAUACUAUAUUAAAAGGGAUAUAUAAUCAACAGGGAGAGUGUCCACGUCAUUAAUAAAAUCAGCCAAUUACGAAGCUUUAAAUCGCCAUGUCAUAUUCGCAUGUCUCGCCUAAUCCCUAAUUUCGUCUGAAGCGAUCAUCGAUCUCAUCUUGCUGCUGCUGAAUCCGUACGAGACGAUCCGUUUGAUCUGUUCUCUGGAGCCAGUGUACCAACCGUAUUUGAAGUUCGGAUCUCCGCCGUCCUUCCUCGCCAUGGCCUCCGUGAAGAUGCGAAAGGCUAGAGACUUGGCUCUCGUGGUGAUCGCAUUCGGAGAUUUCUUACGAUCGUGGUGGAGUUAGUGAUAGUGGCGCUUAAACCGGAGAGGAAACACGUGGUGAUGACAUCGUGCUCUUAGUUCCCUUCGCGGAGAAGAAUCGUUGAGUCGGUCGAGGAGGAGGAUGCAUCAUUGUAGAGGGGAUCGAGAAUUUCGCCGUUAUCGAGUUCGAUCUCAACCUGCACCGCCAUCACCAGGUGGAAAGAAAGUGCGAGAAAAUGAGAGAGAGAGAAGUUUUUCUUGAGAAAAUGUGGAAGAAAGCAGAGUCGUCCCCUCUCUCUCUCUCCAACGUUAUAAACGGUUUGCUCUGUAUUAUUCAUCUUCACCUGAAUGAAACUCAAGAUCAAGGGAGGAUGAUCCCCUUUCAAGUAUAGUAUUUGCCGGAGCUUUGCCGUGGAGUCCGUUGUGGCCGUGUUAUUGACGUUUUAGAUUUGAAUCAGCCUACACGGACCUAACAGCAACAGGGAUUCCAGCGGACUAACAGAAGCAGCCGUGGAGAGGCAAGGCAGGGACGAGAUUAGCGGCCAGAAAUUUGAAAGGAAAUCUUCAGAAGAAUCAGAUAGUAAGAUAGUUGGUGAAGAAGAGAAGGAAGAUAUGUCGCUUAGUAAUGAUAGUGGUGGCUCUAACAAGGCGGCUACACAUGACAAAGACAGAGAUACUUCUCCUUCCCAAGAAGGGAUAAAGCUUUCUCUAUGAUUUUUCUGUUUGAAAUGAUCAUUUAUGCAUAGCCUUGGUUUAGUAUUUUUGGUUUAUAAAGGUCAUGACUACAAUUCAACAGGGUAUUGGAACGAGCUACUAUGGGCAGCUUCGUGUUCUCUCUGGAGGUCAAGCACCUGGUGGGCACACUAAGCACUGGUUUAGAGUCCAUUACCGCAAAUUUUUUCUUCAAGUCCUUGUGAAGAAGAUCCUCGUAUCUUUUUCUUGCUAUACCAGCCCCUACAGCAUUGGCGUUAAACAUAGCCAAGGCUUUUCGAACUGCUUCUUCAUGUUCUUCCCUCAGUGCACCCUAUAUAGCAGAAUUGGAAUGAAUCAUAACAUAAAUUACAAAUAACGGGAGGCUAAAGACAGGUGCUUACUUCUUCAGGAGCUUUUGAAUGGUCAAAGGCAGCCAAAUAAGCUUCUAUACCAGAAUCAUAUGCUCUUCGACACUCAGUUUCUUCGACAUUCUACAAGAACAUAAUCAAGAAAAAUCAAUUUAUGAAGUAUUUGAGGGAAAAUAAGUAAAAGGAUGCAUUAGUAAAAACAUCCCAACUAAUCCCCGCGAUGGUUUCCAAGUACACAAAUGUCUGAACGCAUUAAUCAACCAUAUGUUUACAUUAUGUAAAGUGAACCCCGCCCUAUCUAGUCAAAUCCUUCAAGUCUCAGGUUUUAAUCCUUCAAGAAAAGGAAUGGCUUUUGACUUUAAAUGUAUCAAACAUCCACGAAGGCAAGAGAUCUCAAACCUGCCAAGCUGAGGUUAUCGUUGGCACAGCACCAUUGUUCAACGCAUCCAGAUAAGACUGUGUAAUAGCAGCAAGUACAGGACCCGUCAUCACAGUACCCCCUAACUGCUUGGGCCUCGUCUUCUCAAAAACAAACUUGGUAAAUGCAUCCAGGCCAGCGGCAAACUCACCUCUCAAAUCUUUCAACUGCAUAGACACAAUGGAAUUUAUGUAACCAAGUAUUAUACAAACCUGUAAGCGUAGUAUAAUAAGUGAAGGAGCGUGCAAAGAAUGAUACUAACCGGAAUUUGGUCAAGUCUCUGGAGGUCCUUUUCAUUGGUCAAAGGCCUUACUAGGGUGAAACAUUCUCUGUCCGGAAAAAGUGCACGGAUCGAAUCUCGGAUCUGCAAAACCAUUGCUCACAUUAGCAUUGACUCCCAAUUGUGCUAACAAAAAAACAUUACACUUGAUCGCCACACCCAGAUUUCUCAUAGACUGGACGACUAUCUAAAUGAACAUACCAAAAAAUCAAAGCACAUGCAACCAUUACCUCAUUUUUAGAACCAAUAUCUCCUCCACCACCUUGAACCGGCCUUAACGCAAUUUCUAAAUAGUCACGCGGAGAAAUCUUGCGGUUAUCUUCUUCUAGGUCCAAAUAAAAGUCCUGCAAGUAGGCAUAUCCAAGGUUAAUAUAUAAGACAUGGUAUCGAAAACAAAUAUACAUUAAAAAAUAGCAGAGGCGAUUACCCUAAGGAGCCAGACAAAGAUGGGAGAAAACUGUCCAAGUUCAGAACGUGAGCUCGUUCCUUCAGACGCUUUUACACGGAUAUGCUUUGUCAUUUGAGUGACAAGAGAAAGACGAUCGAGUGAAGCUUCGUCGAUACCACCCAUCUGAAACACACAAAAGAACAACACCUAAUAAGCACAAUCUAAGGAAGAGAUACGCACAAAACGAGAAGUGGAAACUAAACAAACCUGAUUGUAUACGAACAUGCUUGACAGAAGAACAGCUAAUGAGAAUAUCUGAGUGCUGUAUGUACCCUGUUGCAUCGGAAAGAAAGUGAAUGAGACCAUGUUAAGAAAAGUGAAGUAAUUUAAACGAUAAAUCAAAAGUUUUUACUCACCGUUUGGUCGUAAGCAUCAAUGCCUUCACUAUCUAAGAGCAAAAGGUUAUACUCAGAUCCAUCAAGAGCAGUUCGUUUGAUAGGAGAACUCCACAACCAAAGCCCCUUUGUACAAGGCUUGUGCGUUGACGCUACUUGAAACCCAUUACUUCGCCCAAGAAGCUACAACAAAACCAAUUGAAUCAAACAAACACUACUCACUCUAAGAUCAAAAGGAGGAAAAAAUAAACAGAUUACCUGAUUGAGAAUAAAGCUCUUGCCUUGACGAGCUCUACCACAAACCGAGACAACGCCGAUGGGCUCCUUGACGAGUAGCAGAGUAGCAACUGCUUCAGGGUCCAUCCGGAACUUUCCUUUCUCAUCGCAGUACACUAGCCGAAUCGGUCUCGGUGGUCCCGUCACAGCAGACGACGAAGCCGGAGACGUCGAAGGGUAUGAUCUCGGCGACGGGGAAGCGGAACUAGACGGCGGAUCUUUGGCUCCUCGACUGAAAAAGCUCCUCAUCUCCGCAAGCUUCGAAGUUCGUGAAGAUUCGUCACUUCAAAAUUUCGCUCGAUGUUUGGAGAUUUUUUUUUCCUGGAUUUUAGAGUGGUUUUGAAAAAGAGGGGAAAGUAGCGUCAAGAUGACGAAGUAGAGACCUAAGAUCCGUUCGAGACAGAUGGAUAGCUAUGUGGGCCUUACUGGGCCAAAAUGUGUAUUUUUCGAGCCCAAUGCAAAAUAAGUCUUAACCUUACUCUUGCACAUUCUUAUAGAGCGACAACUAAGAAAAAAGGUGAAGAGAAGCAACGUUUAACGAAUUUAGUAGGUUAACCCUUUCGGCAUGUUUAUCGGAGAGUUCUUAGGAUGAGUUCUUAGCGUAAUAUAAGAACCGUUUUUUAACUUUAACUAAGAAAAAUUAAGAAUUGUCUCUUAAAACUCUUAUUUAAGAGCCUAUUUUUAGUUUUUCUUAGUUAAAGUUAAGAAACGGUUCUUUUAUUACGUUAAGAAAACCCUGCAAUAAACAUGGCCUGAGCUGGUCCGGUCCUGGGCAUAGUGAAGUGAGCUGGUCUCUACCUUUUUGGUAAAUGAAGAGUUUUAUAUAGGAAAACACAACAAUAAUUGGAAUGAAAAUUAUUAUAGAGAUAAAAAUAACAAUGGAUUGAAGCUUAAAACCAACUAGUACGCGUACAAUCAAGAUGGUGCAUUUUCAUAAUGCUUUAACUAAAUCUAAAACCCCGCUCACGAAAGAUUAUUAUUUCUUGCUCUUGACGGUUCUAAACUUGACUAACCUCAUCUUCUUCUUUAUCUUGGUUAGGUUUUACGUGUACAGAGCUGAGAUUACUGUUUCAGUAAAUGUAAAACAAAAGGCAACGAAGGUGAUAGAUAACAACGAGUGUCAGUAGAUAUUACAGCAUAAGGGCAAUGUCUAAAAAGGACUUGCAUGGUUUUCAAUAAAGAUCAAUCGUCUCGGUAGUUAAACUUCCUUUUAACAGACACACGUUCAUCUUCAUCCUCUUCCUCCACUUCUUCUUCUUCUUGUUCAUAUACUUCCUCUUCCUCUACUUCCUCUUCUUGCUCAACAUCAUCUUCCACAGUAUUGACCCUCUCGCACUCAUCAAUCCAUUCGCUGUAGCUGCAUUAGUUUCACAGAGGCUUAGAAAAAAACAGAGUGAAAGAAGAAGAAGAAGAAGAAGAUAGUGUACUUACAUGUCUAUAGCUUCACUCAAAGCUGCAAGAAAACAAAAGAUUGAUCAAAUAUGGAAAGCAAAAAACUGAUUAUAUAUAGCAAUGUCACGAUUAGAGAGCAGCAUGAAAAGGAACCUGUGAUAGUAGUGCUAAAGCUUUCUUCACAGAUUCUACAAGUGGCAAUACCAAUCAUCUCCUUCAUAUUACUGUUAAGAAAAACAAAAUCUUCAACAAAUCUGUCGUAGCUCAUUAAAGCUAUAAGAAAGAAGGUUACAUUUGGCAUUCGACACUAGAGCCGUGAUUGCAAAAAGGACAGCUAAAGACAGUGUCAAGCUUGUCCAUUCGCUUCGUUGUAGCAGGCUUUGCCCUUGACUUCCUCUUCCCCAUUGCUUAACCACCCCUUAGGCCACAAUCCAAAACAAAUAUAAAAAUCAAUACUUUAAUCUCUAGUUUGAGGAAAAUACCCACAAGGAUCCAACUUUAGAAAAUAAAAUCGAAAACCCAUAACUUGCGAAUCUAUAAAAAUUCAAAAGAAUCAGAGCCAAGGCUCAAGAAAAUACCCUAAUUAAGAUCAAAUAUUCACAAGCCCAAGUUUGAUAAUUUGGUAAAGACAAAGGUUGCUGUUCCGAAGCAAACAAUGAAUUGAGAAACUGACAAACCUGUUAUUAUUGCACAAGAUCGAUUCCUCGAAGAAGAGCGAGAUACGAAACCCUAGAAAGAUGUCAAUUGGGGGAGAAAGGGAAAAGGAGUUAGAUGCAAUUUUGAUAUUUUUUUCUAGACAGCAACGACGCCGUUUUUAUCAUAACUCAUAAACGACAUCGUUUAGCAGUUAACACCAAAAGGAGCUGAUGACCGUUCGAUCUACAUAGGUUCACACGGAUUCUUAACUACACCGCGAUACAGAGGAACAAAUCGCAGUUACACACUGAAAACGAACACAGAAUCCCCCAAAAGAAGCCACCUUUAGGGUUUUCGUCUCCAAAUCGCUUUCGAAUCGAUUCGUCACGAAUCCAAUCCCCUGGGUUUCUCUCCUCCAGUUUUCGAUUUCAAUCUCUUUGUCGUGAGAAGCGAUGGGAAGAGGCAAGUUCAAGGGGAAACCUACUGGCCAGCGACGAUUCUCAAGUGCAGCUGAUAUUCGUAAGAUAUUUAUCGAAUUUGCAGUUUCUGAUUGUUAUAUAUAUAUUUUGCAAUUAAAGAAGUGAGAUAUUUGUAUCGGGUCUUGUUCUAAUCGGUCUUGUCUUGAUUCAGCUUUUUUGAAGUUUUAAUAGCUUAUAAGAUCUGGUCUUUACCGUUGCUUUAGCUUUUAAAUUGGAUGUGUUGAAUUGACUUGUACUGUCUUGUUACUUGUUUGUUUGAGAGAAUCAUGUGUAAAGUCUCUUUCUUGGAUGAUCUUUUGGUCUUGGGUUUCUCUUCAGAUGUGUUCAGUUUAGUGUGAUGUUUUUGUCUUCUGUUCUGUUGUUGCUUUAGCUGCGUGUUUGAGAGAAUCGUGUGUAAAGACUCUGUAUUGGUUUGGAUUGUCUUUUAACAGAUGUGUUCAAUUUAGUGUGAUGUUUUUGUGUGCUGUGUAGUUGCUGGAACUUCUGCUGCGCGUCCUCGGUCAUUCAAGCAGGUACUUUGGUUGUUUUCUCUCUUACAUGUUUGUUGACUUGUGUGUGGUUAAUGAAUUGGCCUUUUUUUGAUGAAAUUAUCAGAAAGAAGCUGAGUACGAGGAAGAUGUUGAAGAGGAGUCUGAAGAGGAAUCUGAAGAGGAAUCCGAAGAUGAAUCUGAUGUGAGUGUAAAACCCACCCUUAGAAUCUUAUCUGACCUCCUUCAUCUAUUUUAAUUAUUUGAGACGAUUGGUAUAAUACUAUCAGGUGAAGAAGAAAGGACAUGAAUCUCUUAUCGAAGUUGACAAUCCUAACAGAGCCAAACCAAAGACUUUGAAAGCUAGAGACCUUGAUGUAAGCUUUCUGUGUUGGUCAGUUUCUGUGAAUCUACUUAAAUAUGUUUGUCUUAAUAACUUUGUUUUUUUUUUCUCUCUCUCUGUUUCUUAUUAUUAGGCUAGUAAAACCACUGAACUCUCAAGGCGUGAAAGGUUUGUUUCUGAUUUUCCUCUCAUUCAACAUUUCUUAUUCAAGGAGCUUCUUACAGUUCCACCUUAUAUGGUGUUUUGCAGGGAGGAGCUAGAGAAGCAGCGAGCUCAUGAGCGUUACAUGAGGUUGCAGGAGCAAGGCAAAACCGAACAAGCAAGAAAGGAUUUGGGUAAACUACUAUGAAUCUCAUCUUGUUCUCUCUCACUUGUUUCUUUCUAUAUUACCAAAUGGGUUUGUCUGUGUGUGUAUAGAUCGUCUGGCUCUGAUUCGCCAACAGAGAGAAGAAGCGGCCAAGAAGCGAGAAGAGGAAAAAGCAGGUAAUAAACCUCUUUAACAACCACCUUCUCUUACAAUGCUUUUUUAGUUUCGCUUCUGAUUUUUCAAUGUCUCUGUUUAUUGUAGCGAAAGACGCCAAGAAAGUAGAUGCUCGCAAAUGAGACAAGUGUUCACCCUUUAAAAAACAACCUACCUAAAAAAAAGAAGAAUACUCAUCGAAUUUUACUUUGUUCUUUUUUCGAUUGGUAACAGAUCAUAAAACAUUUGCCUAAUACUUUGUACCGUGGGGAUUACUCCAUCUUAAUACAUUUGAAGUUAAUAAUCUCUUUGUCUUGCUUUGUUUUUCAAGUCUUUUUAGUUUGGUUUGCAAGAAAUCCUAAACUUAAGCCAAAACUUGCUCUAGUUUGAUAAUAAGGGUUUGCAGUUAGUCUGCGCCUUCGACUUCGUGUAGUUGGAUCGUGCUUUGUUUGACGUCUGUCCGUUCAAGAUGGGUUAACCGUACCACUGAAGAUGAAUUGGUAGAAAAUUCGAUAUUUAUUUGGUUCCCAUUCCGGUUAGAAGAAUUAAUUAUGUAACUGAGAAUUUUAAAGAGGAAAACUGUAGCAUUGGUAACUCGCAGGACCAGUUUACAAUUAUUUAAAACAAGAUUUGUAUUUAAAUCCAACUUAAAAAAAAAAAAGUAAAACAACCAGUGCCACUCCAAGUAGAAUAUUGGAGAAAGACAAAUUUUAAAGAGGAAAAAUAAAAAGAUUCCGAUAAUCCUUCAAACAGAUUUAGUGAUACAACACUUCCAUGGUUACCAACUUGCCAAAUCGAUACCUUAUAGAUCGAUAAUGGCAUGAGAAAAGAACAGAUCCAAACAUAGACUAUCACCGUAGUUAACCACCACUUGAGCUUUGUUCAAAACAGUUUACCCGCCCUCAAAGCAGAUAGCUUAUUAGAAGCUCGAUGGUUCGUGCAACUCCAUCACCCUCUCAACAAAUCCCACACCAUACCAACACCGACAGUCGAAAACCUCACUAUAACCAGUGAAAACCCCAAAAAGAGCGGCAAAUCCCGACUUGAAUCUUCAACGGACAUCUUUGAGAAAGAAUCACCAGAUCAUGUCCUCUUAAGUCCAGAUCUGCGUAAACGUGUUGCUUCCAACCACCUUACAACGCACAUAGUAACCACCAGAGAAGAAACGGUGACCCGCCAUAAGAUCAGUAAAUAUAACAUCACAAAACCAAAGUUUGAAGAACUGGAGCAAGGAAAAUGUAAAGAGAAACAACGUUUGGUGUUAUACUCUCAGCAUUUGAACUGUUAUAUCGUUCUGUAUAAACUUUAAUUCUAAAUAUAAUACAAUUGUCCAAAAAAAAUAAGUUUGAUAUAUUGAUAAGUAAAAACAACAUAAUAUAUUAUUUUUAAUUUGCAAGCUGAUCAAUUAUAUGUGUGGCAUGCAGUGACUGAUCCAACUUUAUAUUUUAAAAGGGUUCACAAUUUGAUUUUAGCCCAACCUCUAAAAUAUAUUAGAGAAAAGAGUAAAAAAGAAUGGUAUCAAACAGACUAGAGAAAAGGUGGAUCACUAUGGGGAAAAAGAAACCAACAGAGCUGCUGAAUAAAAACUGAUGAAUGGAAAAACACUGACAUAUAUAUAUAAUUAACCUGUGUCAUGUGAUCCAUUAUUUCUCAGCGUGAAACAGCCUCUGGUGGCAUGAAAUUGUUUAUGACGAAUAAAUCCCUUUUGUCAUUACAAAAAAACAAAAAAAAAAACGAAAUACUUGUAUUAUUUAAAUUCGGAAAUAUUAGAGGAAAAAGCAUGUUCUUGAUCUCUUGGUCUUUAAGGGCUUUAUCUUCUUCUUUGCCUUUGGUGGCCUCAAAGCUACCCGGAUCGCUGUAUCAAACACUGACUUCACAUUCUGACAAAGGAAAAACCAGAAUUCAGCUUGAUUAUAUUUUAUUUCAACCUAAUGUUUAAUAUAAAUGUACUCAUAUGAAAUCAUAUACCUGUUGGGUUUUGGAGCUGCAUUCUAAGUACCUGACGGCUCCAAUCAUCUUUCUUAGUUCUUCUCCCUGUUACUCAAAUUCAUCAUACUAUUACAGCCACAGUUAUGACUUUUUGUAACAUAUAGACAUAUAUAUAUUUGUAUUUGUAAAAAUAAAUAUGAUAUCUAUACUAUAUUAAAAGGGAUAUAUAAUCAACAGGGAGAGUGUCCACGUCAUUAAUAAAAUCAGCCAAUUACGAAGCUUUAAAUCGCCAUGUCAUAUUCGCAUGUCUCGCCUAAUCCCUAAUUUCGUCUGAAGCGAUCAUCGAUCUCAUCUUGCUGCUGCUGAAUCCGUACGAGACGAUCCGUUUGAUCUGUUCUCUGGAGCCAGUGUACCAACCGUAUUUGAAGUUCGGAUCUCCGCCGUCCUUCCUCGCCAUGGCCUCCGUGAAGAUGCGAAAGGCUAGAGACUUGGCUCUCGUGGUGAUCGCAUUCGGAGAUUUCUUACGAUCGUGGUGGAGUUAGUGAUAGUGGCGCUUAAACCGGAGAGGAAACACGUGGUGAUGACAUCGUGCUCUUAGUUCCCUUCGCGGAGAAGAAUCGUUGAGUCGGUCGAGGAGGAGGAUGCAUCAUUGUAGAGGGGAUCGAGAAUUUCGCCGUUAUCGAGUUCGAUCUCAACCUGCACCGCCAUCACCAGGUGGAAAGAAAGUGCGAGAAAAUGAGAGAGAGAGAAGUUUUUCUUGGGAAAAUGUGGAAGAAAGCAGAGUCGUCCCCUCUCUCUCUCUCCAACGUUAUAAACGGUUUGCUCUGUAUUAUUCAUCUUCACCUGAAUGAAACUCAAGAUCAAGGGAGGAUGAUCCCCUUUCAAGUAUAGUAUUUGCCGGAGCUUUGCCGUGGAGUCCGUUGUGGCCGUGUUAUUGACGUUUUAGAUUUGAAUCAGCCUACACGGACCUAACAGCAACAGGGAUUCCAGCGGACUAACAGAAGCAGCCGUGGAGAGGCAAGGCAGGGACGAGAUUAGCGGCCAGAAAUUUGAAAGGAAAUCUUCAGAAGAAUCAGAUAGUAAGAUAGUUGGUGAAGAAAAGAAGGAAGAUAUGUCGCUUAGUAAUGAUAGUGGUGGCUCUAACAAGGCGGCUACACAUGACAAAGACAGAGAUACUUCUCCUUCCCAUGAAGGGAUAAAGCUUUCUCUAUGAUUUUUCUGUUUGAAGCUGUUUAAAAUGAUCAUUUAUGCAUAGCCUUGGUUUAGUAUUUUUGGUUUAUAAAGGUCAUGACUACAAUUCAACAGGGUAUUGGAACGAGCUACUAUGGGCAGCUUCGUGUUCUCUCUGGAGGUCAAGCACCUGGUGGGCACACUGCUAUAUAUGGACUAUUCGGUAAGUGUUUAAAAUGAGAUACUUCUCCUUCCCAUGAAGGGAUAAAGCUUUCUCUAUGAUUUUUCUGUUUGAAAUGAUCAUUUAUGCAUAGCCUUGGUUUAGUAUUUUUGGUUUAUAAAGGUCAUGACUACAAUUCAACAGGGUAUUGGAACGAGCUACUAUGGGCAGCUUCGUGUUCUCUCUGGAGGUCAAGCACCUGGUGGGCACACUGCUUUAUAUGGACCAUUCGGUAAGUGUUUAAAAUACAUUUUUGUGUGUUUCAAAAUGAUGCUUUACAUCUUAGUCAUAUACUUAAUUAAGAAAGCAGAGUAGCAGGAUCACUCUUAUUUCAAAAUAUGUGCUCUUUUUAGAAGUUUACAUUUGAUGUCAUAAUUUUGUGAAUCAGUGUCUCGAGUAAUCAAAUUUGAUGUCACCCUAACUUCAAACUUUUCUAUUCACAUUCCUCAAAACUUAUUCUCUCAGUGUUUGCAUGCAGGGUGAUCCUGCAAGUUUUCAUGCUGCUGUAGCAAAGACAUGUUUUGAGGUACGGUAAUAUUCUCAAAACACCAGACUUUGACUCCCUUUGCAUAACAAAUUCUUCUGCAGUUUUCUGAUUCUAAGUAUCUCCACUUUGUUAUUCACUCAGCUGAAGAAUCAACUCAUCACUGCUAGCUAUGUUGAUGAUGAAACAUCCAUGUAGAUGGCUAAGAAAUACUUGGAUUAUGAUUCUUGGUGAAGUGACAUCUCACAACUUGGAUAAUUGAGAAUGAGGCUCAUAUCAGCAAGGGGAAAGUGAAGUCUUUCAUGCUCUUCCUGUGGUAGCAUUCCCUUUUCUUCUGCAGCAGAUAAUUUAUUAGCACAGAUUGAAUGACUUCAAUCUGAUGUAUUCAAAUCAUGCAAUAAUGUGAUCAAGAGCUCACAUUCACCUUCCACUUUGUAAUAUUUCUUAUGUAUCUUUUUUUUUGGGAAUCAUAAUAAGCAAUAAUAUUUUACAGUACAUAUGCAUUAGUAUUACACCAAACAACUCUCAAUAGAAAAAAAAAUACAAUUACAACCAAAAGAAAAUUAAAGAAAAACAGUGAGCAUAUAAAGUUAGCUUAAAAAGGGACCCCAUAGAGAAAAUACAUUUAAAAAUAUAUAGUAAAUUAUUAAAUAAACAAAAUAAAAUUGGAACAAAUUUAAAUAGUAAAUAUAUUUAAGACUCAAACAAAUAUGUAUAAUUUUAAAUAGUAGUGACCACUAUUAAAUUUUUAUGUACUUUACCUGAUUUAAUUAUAUUUCCAGUUAAAAUGGAUUAAACUUCACAACUUAUUACUUAUAACUUCAUUAAACUCAUCAGAAAAUGAUUAUUAGUUUGAAACUUUGAUCAAUGAGUACAGUUAUUUCUAAUAGGUGAAGUAAAAACGUACAGGUCAGCCAAUUAUUUAAACAAUUGUAAAAUCUUCCAUAACUUUUGAUUAAUUAACAUCUAAACCAAAUAUUCUAACACAAUUUUAUGAAUAUAUUCCAUAAUUUAAUGGUACAUUUUAAACAAAAAGUAUAUUUUUGUCAAUGGAAUAUAAAAUAACAAUAAUUUCUAAAAUCAUGAACAAAAUUUUAACACAAAUUAUAAAAUAAACUUACUUUUAAUAACAAUUAAACCAAAUAUUUUAAACAAUUACAUCAUAUAUAUUUCAUAAAUAUGUUUAUAACCCUGAGUACAUUUUGAAGCAAAACUAUUUGUCAAUUUUAUAAUCAUAAAUUAAAAUUUCAAGGAAUUUUCUAACGAUAGAAAAAAAAACAAUGGUAAAGUAGAAACUAACUUGAAUCCCUGAGUGGACUGGCCAGUGUUGCGUACUGUUCUUUUUUCAUUAUUUAGAAAAAAGGUCAUGGAUCCUGAAAUCAGAAAGCAUAACUUUAAGACUUUUCAAACAUCAUAUUUAGAAAUUCAAUUUCAUAUUGUUUUUAGAACAAAAGAAAAAAACUUUAGAAUAUAAGCUUACAUAAAUUUAUAGAAUUAAACAUUUAUAACACUGCAUGCAAUGUUCUUAACAUAAAUUCUUUGACAUACAAAUAAAAUAAUAGACAAACAAAAUAAAUUAAUAUAUAAAUAUAGAUUUGUAAUAAAUAAAUAUCAACACAUUUUUUAAUUGUUAUGAUUUGUCAGUUACCAAAAUUGCAAAACCUUUCAAAUUCUAUUUAAAAUAACUAUUUUCAAAAUUUGCUCAAAUAAAAUGAUUUGUGUUCGUAUAUUAUAUUUUUUACCUUUAACAUAUAGUCUUUUUGUUCAAUAUUAGAUAAUGUUUUACAUCGGUGAACAUAUAUUAAAAAAUCGACUAUUUUAGAAAGUAAUAUUAAAAUAUAAUUUAGAUAUAGUUUCACCAAUUAAAAAUGUAAAUAUUAAAAUUUUAAUUAGUUACACCAUUUUUUUUUGUGUGUUUCAAAAUGAUGCUUUACAUCUUAGUCAUAUACUUAAUUAAGAAAGCAGAGUAGCAGGAUCACUCUUAUUUCAAAAUAUGUGCUCUUUUUAGAAGUUUACAUUUGAUGUCAUAAUUUUGUGAAUCAGUGUCUCGAGUAAUCAAAUUUGAUGUCACCCUAACUUCAAACUUUUCUAUUCACAUUCCUCAAAACUUAUUCUCUCAGUGUUUGCAUGCAGGGUGAUCCUGCAAGUUUUCAUGCUGCUGUAGCAAAGACAUGUUUUGCGGUACGGUAAUAUUCUCAAAACACCAGACUUUGACUCCCUUUGCAUAACAAAUUCUUCUGCAGUUUUCUGAUUCUAAGUAUCUCCACUUUGUUAUUCACUCAGCUGAAGAAUCAACUCAUCACUGCUAGCUAUGUUGAUGAUGAAACAUCCAUGUAGAUGGCUAAGAAAUACUUGGAUUAUGAUUCUUGGUGAAGUGACAUCUCACAACUUGGAUAAUUGAGAAUGAGGCUCAUAUCAGCAAGGGGAAAGUGAAGUCUUUCAUGCUCUUCCUGUGGUAGCAUUCCCUUUUCUUCUGCAGCAGAUAAUUUAUUAGCACAGAUUGAAUGACUUCAAUCUGAUGUACUCAAAUCAUGCAAUAAUGUGAUCAAGAGCUCACAUUCACCUUCCACUUUGUAAUAUUUCUUAUGUAUCUUUUUUUUUGGGAAUCAUAAUAAGCAAUAAUAUUUUACAGUACAUAUGCAUUACAAUUACAACCAAAAGAAAAUUAAAGAAAAACAGUGAGCAUAUAAAGUUAGCUUAAAAAGGGACCCCAUAGAGAAAAUACAUUUAAAAAUAUAUAGUAAAUUAUUAAAUAAACAAAAUAAAAUUGGAACAAAUUUAAAUAGUAAAUAUAUUUAAGACUCAAACAAAUAUGUAUAAUUUUAAAUAGUAGUGACCACUAUUAAAUUUUUAUGUACUUUACCUGAUUUAAUUAUAUUUCCAGUUAAAAUGGAUUAAACUUCACAACUUAUUACUUAUAACUUCAUUAAACUCAUCAGAAAAUGAUUAUUAGUUUGAAACUUUGAUCAAUGAGUACAGUUAUUUCUAAUAGGUGAAGUAAAAACGUACAGGUCAGCCAAUUAUUUAAACAAUUGUAAAAUCUUCCAUAACUUUUGAUUAAUUAACAUCUAAACCAAAUAUUCUAACACAAUUUUAUGAAUAUAUUCCAUAAUUUAAUGGUACAUUUUAAACAAAAAGUAUAUUUUUGUCAAUGGAAUAUAAAAUAACAAUAAUUUCUAAAAUCAUGAACAAAAUUUUAACACAAAUUAUAAAAUAAACUUACUUUUAAUAACAAUUAAACCAAAUAUUUUAAACAAUUACAUCAUAUAUAUUUCAUAAAUAUGUUUAUAACCCUGAGUACAUUUUGAAGCAAAACUAUUUGUCAAUUUUAUAAUCAUAAAUUAAAAUUUCAAGGAAUUUUCUAACGAUAGAAAAAAAAACAAUGGUAAAGUAGAAACUAACUUGAAUCCCUGAGUGGACUGGCCAGUGUUGCGUACUGUUCUUUUUUCAUUAUUUAGAAAAAAGGUCAUGGAUCCUGAAAUCAGAAAGCAUAACUUUAAGACUUUUCAAACAUCAUAUUUAGAAAUUCAAUUUCAUAUUGUUUUUAGAACAAAAAUUUAUAAGCUUACAUAAAUUUAUAGAAUUAAACAUUUAUAACACUGCAUGCAAUGUUCUUAACAUAAAUUCUUUGACAUACAAAUAAAAUAAUAGACAAACAAAAUAAAUUAAUAUAUAAAUAUAGAUUUGUAAUAAAUAAAUAUCAACACAUUUUUUAAUUGUUAUGAUUUGUCAGUUACCAAAAUUGCAAAACCUUUCAAAUUCUAUUUAAAAUAACUAUUUUCAAAAUUUGCUCAAAUAAAAUGAUUUGUGUUCGUAUAUUAUAUUUUUUACCUUUAACAUAUAGUCUUUUUGUUCAAUAUUAGAUAAUGUUUUACAUCGGUGAACAUAUAUUAAAAAAUCGACUAUUUUAGAAAGUAAUAUUAAAAUAUAAUUUAGAUAUAGUUUCACCAAUUAAAAAUGUAAAUAUUAAAAUUUUAAUUAGUUACACCAUUUUUUUUUGACAACAGUUACACCAUUUUUAGUAAUGUAAAGUUAUUUAGAUACUUGAAAACAUUGUCUGAUGUUAAAUAACAAAAACACAUAUAAAACAUCAUGAUUAGUAAAUCACCUGAAACGGAGGGAACAGUAAAGAUGUGUUAAAAUAAUUUUUAACUCAAGUGAAAAUGAUUUAUAGACAUUGUCUUAGAAGUCUCCAUUAUGAGUGGCCGAUGAGAUAUAUUCCAAACAUUACGGUAUUCAAGAAAAAAAGAAAAAUGAAGCAGUCGUAAGUACUUACAAAAGUCAACCCAAAACAAUCACACCUUUUUAAUUUAUAAAAUAGUUAAGUUGUAAAUAUUAUUGGUUCGUAACAAAACAUAUAUAAAGGAUGUGAUUGGUUAAUAAAUAGAGUAAAAAGGUGGAAAAGAAAAGUGAAAAUAGGAUGAAACAAAACAGUACCGUUGGCGUUAACUUUUCCAUUUCAUCCAAGGUGAGAUAAAUUUUAUUCUACUUUAUUCUUAUUUUUAUAGUAAACUGGAAGAAUGAGAGUAAACCAGCCGAAGCUGAAAAGAUUUUUUACCUUUUUCACUUUACUCUAAUUAUACCAUACAGUCAGACACAAAGUCUCAUAAUAAUAAGUUUAAAAUUUACAGAAAAUUAUUCAUGCAUAAACAACUAAUUUGGUUAGUUGUACAAAAAAAACCUUCUAAGUGCCUAAUGAUGAUUAAAUCUACCUUCAUCUUUAAUAUUUCACAUUAAUCUAAGAUAGCUAAUAGUACUACUAAUCUUUGUGAACAUUAUUUAUUACAAAACUAUAUUGAGGUUUCUAUUUAUACGUCUAUGAAAAAACUUAAAACUGAAAAAAACAAAGGGAUAGUUAGAAAGAAUGAAUUGUUAGGAAAUAUUUACAUGCAUGAUAAUUUUAAAUAUAUUUUCUAAAUAUAUUUUUUCAUUUUAUUAUACACCUAUUUCAUUUUAAAUCAUUAAGAGUAUAACUAUCUUACACUGUCAAGUAAUUAAAUUUUAUUUAGAAUUAGCAUGAACGAAACACUCUAAUAACAUGAUCUUGCUGGAUUCUCAACCCAAUUUUAAUUCUUAUGUUAAAAACAAACAACAAUUUCACUUUUAAAAAAAACAAACAACAAUUUCAUCUAAAACAGUUUUUUUGCAUUUCCACUAUCAUAUAGCUAUUUAUAUGGGACGAAGAAGUGAAAGUUUUAGAUAAUUAUAAAGCAUACAAAUUUAAAUACAAAAAUAUUAAAUUAUCAUGUAUGAUAUUUUAAAUUAUUGAAAAAUAGAUAUAUUGUUUGCUUUAAUACCAACAACACGAUUAUACUUCAACAGUUCCAAUUACAUUAUAAAGAAAUUGCUUAUAAUACCACAAAUUAGAUAUAACAUUCCAAAAAUGCAUUUAAUCAAAACUAUCCUAACGUUUGAGUUUAAGAUUUAAUGACAAACUAGAUUUUGACCCGCGCUUUCAAAGCGCAGAUUUAUUAUUUUAUUUUCUAUUGACAAAUAUUUAGUAAAUGUCAUAUUUUCAUAUAUUUGUGUUUUAUUUUAUAAAAGACUUAAACUUUUUAUUUUUAUUUAUCGUAUUUCAUUUUAAAUGACUAUUUAUGUUUAAAAAAUUAAACUUAUUUCUUUAAUGAAUUAAGUUGGUAUAACUGUGAUAAAUUAAUUUUAUUAUGUGGUUAAUAUUUUAAUAAAAAAUUAUAUACUUUUACUAAAAAUUUAUACUUUUCAAUGAAAAAAAUCAGUUUUUUAUGAAUGGUUAAAUUAUAUUAAGAAAAGCACUGUCAAGUAAUUAAAUUUUAUUUAGAAUUAGCAUGAACGAAACACUCUAAUAACAUGAUCUUGCUGGAUUCUCAACCCAAUUUUAAUUUUUAUGUUAAAAUAAAACAACAAUUUCACUUAUUAUGUGGUUAAUAUUUUAAUAAAAAAUUAUAUACUUUUACUAAAAAUUUAUACUUUUCAAUGAAAAAAAUCAGUUUUUUAUGAAUGGUUAAAUUAUAUUAAGAAAAGAAAGAAAAAUAAUAAUUAAGAAUAGUUGAAAAAAAUUAUUUGAACUUGGACUCAAUGGCUCAAAAGAAAAAAAAAUGUGAGAAUUAGAUCUGAUUUCUUAAUCGGCCCAAAUAGCCCAAGAGAGAUAUGAUGUGGGUUGGAUCCGAAAAAAAUGACCCAAUAUAGAUGUGUUAUUAAUAUUACUUGAUUGCCAUUAAUGAAACAUGCAAUGUUAGUAAAGAAAAGAAUACCAACAACACGAUUAUACUUCAACAGUUCCAAUUACAUUAUAAAGAAAUUGCUUAUAAUACCACAAAUUAGAUAUAACAUUCCAAAAAUGCAUUUAAUCAAAACUAUCCUAACGUUUGAGUUUAAGAUUUAAUGACAAACUAGAUUUUGACCCGCGCUUUCAAAGCGCAGAUUUAUUAUUUUAUUUUCUAUUGACAAAUAUUUAGUAAAUGUCAUAUUUUCAUAUAUUUGUGUUUUAUUUUAUAAAAGACUUAAACUUUUUAUUUUUAUUUAUCGUAUUUCAUUUUAAAUGACUAUUUAUGUUUAAAAAAUUAAACUUAUUUCUUUAAUGAAUUAAGUUGGUAUAACUGUGAUAAAUUAAUUUUAUUAUGUGGUUAAUAUUUUAAUAAAAAAUUAUAUACUUUUACUAAAAAUUUAUACUUUUCAAUGAAAAAAAUCAGUUUUUUAUGAAUGGUUAAAUUAUAUUAAGAAAAGAAAGAAAAAUAAUAAUUAAGAAUAGUUGAAAAAAAUUAUUUGAACUUGGACUCAAUGGCUCAAAAGAAAAAAAAAUGUGAGAAUUAGAUCUGAUUUCUUAAUCGGCCCAAAUAGCCCAAGAGAGAUAUGAUGUGGGUUGGAUCCGAAAAAAAUGACCCAAUAUAGAUGUGUUAUUAAUAUUACUUGAUUGCCAUUAAUGAAACAUGCAAUGUUAGUAAAGAAAAGAGUAGGCUAAGGUAAAAAGGACAAUAGGAUCCUGCUUUAAUAGUAUAGAUAUUUGGAGUUUAUUAUUUAAAGAAUAGAAUUGGGUAAACGUCCAUACAUAAUUCUUACAUAUUUAAAAAAUGAUUAUGUGGGUUCGUUUAGUUUUUUAUUACAAAUUUAAGGUAUUUACGAAAAAUUAUUCUUUAAAGAGAUUUUAAAAUAGUAUCAAUUCUAUGGUAAAAUUAGAAUUUCUCCUUAACAUUAUUAGAAGAACUAGGAAAAAUAUGCAAAACUAAACUAAUGACGAAACAUAGAGCUCACCAUGUUAAAGAAAUCACAAUUAAAAAAUACCCCAAGCUACUUUAUUAUUAUGUUAGAGAUACUAUAAAUAUUAUGUAAAACUACUUUCAAAUAUAAUAUAAAUUAAAAUGGUGAAAAUUAGUGUAUCUAAUCCGCGCGUAGCGCGGAGAAAAGAUCUAGUUUUUAUAAGGAUACCUGAGCAGUUGUUAUAGAAGCUGCUCCUGGAUGAUCUUUCAAGAACUGCUUGUCAUCCCUCAAGUCUGUAAUUUUUCUUUUCAACAUUACCUCACUAAUAAAAAUAUACUUUAAUGAACAAAUAUCAAAGGCUAAAUAAACCAAGGAAAGUGUAUAAAUAACACUGGGCUAUUGAUUAUUAGCUCAUUAGUAACCGAAAGUGGGCAAUGUUAGUUUACUGCAUUCUUGUAUUUUCCUGUUAUCGGGUUUCAAUAUAUAAAUGAAAAAUAAUAUAUUAAUAUUUAUUGGAACUACUAAGCUAGAAAACUUUAUCUAGCAGAAAAAUAAUCGAAUGAUAAAUAUUUUAACAUAUUGUUUUCACUAGAAUUGAAUAAAAGGAUAUACAAUAUAAAAUGAUUACAUAUCGACGAAAUAUUUCCCUAUGUAAAUGUUGAUGAACUUCUUUAUUACCUAAUUUGGUUCCGACGAGCACAAUGGGGAUGGUAGGCGCAUAAUGUUUCAGCUCCGGCAGCCACUAUUAUUCAAGAAAUUAAUAUAAAUAAAAUAAUCUUGAAGACAAUUAAAAAUAUUUCACCACAGUCAUUUCAAAACAGAUGCAAAUUUUAAAAUGCUACCUUUUUGUAAAUAUUCUCGUAACUGGCUUUGCUAAUUAGGGAAAAUGCCAAUAAAAAUACAUCUGCUCCUCUGUAACUCAAAGGCCGAAGCCUGUUAUAAUCCUCCUGCCCUGAUAAUUACACAUUAAAACUAAUUAUUAAUACUAAUAUAUGUACUAUUUGUCCAUUCAUCAGUUUUAGUAAUAAACUAAAAAGUUUUAUUUUUCUAAAAAAACUAAAAAGUUUUAACUAUUUACCGGCAGUAUCCCAGAGGCCGAGGUUGACCGUACUUCCAUCGACCACCACGUUCGCACUGAAAUUGUCGAAAACUGUCGGAACAUAAUCCUGUAAAUUAUAUACCUUUUAAAUCAUUUUUAUCCCAAACAUAUAUAUAAACAAACAUAUAGAAAAAAAUUAAAAUACAUUUUAUGUAAAAUAAUUAAAAAUACAUUUGUUUAGCUUUAGUUUCGGGUUUACGUCCAGUAGUUUCAAAUGAUUUUUUUUUUGAACUUAUUAAAUGAAAAUAUUCAAGUAUCAUUGUAAAAACAAAAACCUUAGUACGAGAAAUUUCCAUGAAUAUGUAUCACAGUACAUAACCAGGCUUUGUCAAAACUAAACGUAAAAUCUAAAUAACACGAAAACAUUAAAUUACGUAAAAGCCAGUAAAAUUCUUCAAGAGACCAGCAUAAAACUCUUAAAACAUCAGUUUGAAAGUCUUCAUGGAAACAAACUGUUUAAACCUAAACAAUAAAUUAAUUACCGUAGGAAAAGUAUUGCUGGUAUAUGAAAUUAACAUACAAGUCUUCCCCACGGCUCCAUCUCCGACAGUCACACACUUGAUGAAUCUUGCUGUGCUCAUUUUUUAUUUUAUCUUUCUGUUUGUGAUUUUGUGUGUGUGUUUGGUUUCUAUGUUCAGAAGAGAAGAGAAGUGGUCGAGGGUUCUUAAGAAGCUUUUUGUGAUGAUUAUAGUUGUUUAUUGGUGGAGAGGAUGAUUACUACUCUUAUUGUUAAUUUUUAUCAGCUUAUUUGGUACAGGAGGAAAUUUGAAGCAAAACAUACAAAACAAACCGAACAAAUACCGAAUCAAUUAAGGAACUGUAUAGAUAAAUUGGUUUAUAUAUCCUCAAAUCAAAUAAACCAAGUACGCCAAAUAAACUCUUACAUCCGUCAUAAAUUAGAGAGAAACGUUAGAAAAUUUUUAAAAUUAUAUUCUAUAAAAUAGUUGGAUAAAUAUUAUUAUAAAGUUAUUCAAAAAAAAUUUUGGUCUAUCUGAUUUUCUGAAUCAAGUCGACAGAUCAGAAUGGUUUCCACGGAAUUGAACCAGAUCAAGCCGAAAAGUGAUACUCUCUCACCUUUUGCCUCUCUUAUUGUUUAAAUAUAUUAAUUAACUUACAUUAAUGACUUAAAAUGAUGAGGAAUUGAGUAUUUCUUUUACUUCAAGUGCAAGAUCUUGUGGUCGGCCAAAGUGAUGUAGCCGUUUGGUGUUGGUUGUGAGUGGAUAUUUUUAAGUUUUGGAGAAGGAACUCUCAUCUUACUUUCUUGAAGCUUUAUUAUCUUAUAUUAUAAUCAUCUAUAGUUUCUGUUUGUCUUAUUUGAUCACAUAUUAACAACUUUGGAUAUUGAUAGGAUUGACUUAACUAGUACGAUUUGGAUUUUGUUGAAACCGUGUGCUAUUAAUUCUACAUUUUAAUAAGAUCUUGUGUUCUUAUAAGUUUAUAUAUGAAUGAAUAAAGAAAUAAAAUUCAUGUAUAUAUAUUUUUCUUUUUCUUUUUUCAAAAAUAUAUGAAACUUUGUUUUCUGUAAUAUUAUGUGUUUCUGAUUUUGUAUAGGUAGCUUGGUGUUUUAGUAUCCUGUGCAAAUCACGUCAAAUGUAGUUAUCAUUUGAGGGUCUAUUGCGUAAAACACAAGUUUUUGGAUCGAAUGAUACGGACAUCCUCAAAAUACAAAGUAAUUAAGGAUAUAUUCCACUUGCUUGUAGAUGUGUUUAUUGUAAAUAUAAAAAAAACUAAAAUGGACGACAUUUAUUAACACAAAUUAAAAAUGAAUAUUGUUUUAUCAAAUUAUAAUUAAAAUUUUAUUAAUAAAAAUCCUGCAAAGCGCUGGUGAACCGAUAAUCUUGUUUCUAUUAAAUUUGGACGAAAAGAUUAGGAACUUUUAGGGAUGUAAAGUAAGUUGGAAGCCGCUUGGCUGUAUUACAUGCAUAGGAUUGUUCCUCUGUUUGGAGGCAUCUGGUUUCGGGUCGUUCGUACGUUAACUGUAGGGGAUUGUGCUUUUGACUCUCCCUGAGCUCUUUAACACAGCUUUCCUCUGCUGAAUUUUGUUUCUCGAGUUUACUAAAGCUUUUGACCGUAUUGGAACAGGACACUUGUUCCUAUUUCCAUGACUAGUACUCUCGGUUGAUGACUGUUCAUCAUCUGAUGUAGGCAAUGAGUCUGAAAGAAGAGUCAAAUGGUUUGAGACUUGUGGAUGAGAACAUGGGGCAUAGUAACCUGCAGUUUCCAAUCCAAGAAAAAAGAUAUUGAAGCUUAUGAUAAGAGAAUCUGAUUUCAUUAUGAUAGCAAACCCCAUAUCAGUUAUACAAUGAAGUUCUCAACUUUUACUCAAAGUAUCAAAUCUUUUGCAUCACAUAAACUUACCAUUUCACAAAUUACAUGCAACAGAGUCUUAAAUUAUAACCAACACACACAUUUAUUCUAAAGCUUAACCGGAUAUUGAACCGAUUUUUUCACAUAGUUGGGUAAGAAGCAUUCA
This 49112-nucleotide long non-coding RNA is filed under the name Brassica napus (rape). RNAcentral's name for it is "long non-coding RNA (BNAP_LNC005632)". Lineage: Eukaryota; Viridiplantae; Streptophyta; Magnoliopsida; Brassicales; Brassicaceae. The record is from RNAcentral.